This 49248-nucleotide long non-coding RNA is filed under the name Oryza sativa (Asian cultivated rice). RNAcentral's name for it is "long non-coding RNA (OSAT_LNC000345)". The stretch from base 37451 to 37557 matches the Rfam family "Plant small nucleolar RNA R71". Lineage: Eukaryota; Viridiplantae; Streptophyta; Magnoliopsida; Poales; Poaceae. The record is from RNAcentral.
UUUAUUUUUUUUAUAUGUAUGACUAUAGUGUACUUUGAGAUAUGUAUGAAUAUGUGUAGCCAUUCUAUGAAGCUUUUUAUUCGGUCAUUCUAUAUCUAUAUAAUGAUUAAUUUAUGAUGAUUAAUUUAUGUGUGCAUGCGUACAGUUUGAUAAGUGAUUUUGGUAUUCGGGCCUUGGCCGUAUUUAGUUCCUCCAAAAUUUUUUUGACACCACAGACACACAUUUAAAGUAUUAAACAUAGACUAAUAAAACAAAUUACAGAUUCCACCUAUAAACUGCGAGACGAAUUUAUUAAGCCUAAUUAAUCUAUCAUUAGCAAAUAUUUACUGUAGCACCACAUUGUCAAAUUAUAGCGUAAUUAGGCUCAAAAGAUUCGUCUCGCAAUUUACAUGCAAACAAUGCAAUUGAUUUUUUUUUCAUCCACAUUUAAUGCUUCAUGCAUGUGUCCAAACAUUUGAUGUGACGGAAUUUUUGGAAGUUUGAAGGGAACUAAACACAACCCUUAUUUAGAUCCCAAAAAAUUUUGGCCAAAAACGUCACAUCAAAUGUUUGGACAAAUGCAUGGGGCAUUAAAUGUGGAAAAAAAAUCAAUUGCAUAGUUUGCAUGUAAAUUGCGAGACGAAUCUUUUGAGCCUAAUUAUGCCAUGAUUUGACAAUGUGAUGCUACAGUAAAUAUUUGCUAAUGACGAAUUAAUUAGACUUAAUAAAUUCAUCUCGCAGUUAUAGGCGGAAUCUGUAAUUUGUUUUGUUAUUAGUCUACGUUUAAUAAUUUAAAUGUGUGUCCGUAUACUUCAAAAACUUUGCACCCAAACAACUAAACACACCCUCAGGCAAUAUAACUUGGUUCUUUUUUUCUCUAAUGCAGCACCACCAUAGUCAACUGUAGAGUUAUCCCUUGGUAUGUGAAGUGAUGAUCAGAGCCAAUGUACCUCUCAAACCGACUCACAAAUGGAUAUCAUCAUUGUUGAAAGAAGGGUUUCAUCGGGGUUUUAACCGAUGAGGUAUGUAGAUGUUGCAUCGGCUUACAAAGAUUGCAUAUAAGUUGGAUUUAGCCAUUCGCAACAAAGGUUUCACUGUUUAUCUAAUCUUGUGGAUUUUAUGACAUGGGACCUCCAGCCAAUAUAUGCUUUAACCAUCGGAAUAUUUAUUUUAUCAUAUCAUUGUUAGCCGAUUAGUUUCUACUGGAUUAUAUUAUUGUUAUUUAUCAUCAUCGGCUGAUGGCCUUUAUGUCAUUUAUUUACUCAAGUAUCAGACUUUGCAUUGGACAUAUAGCCGAUUGCUCAAAACCCUAUCAACAUCUGCUGGUAUCGGCAUCAGUUGGAAUUACUCCGUCUGCUUGUCAGCCAAUCGGCUCAUUGAUCUACUAUUUGCAUAUCUUAUCAGUUGCAGGAUCAAACUGACUGACACUUCUGCAUCUCAUCAACCUUUUGACCUGCACUGGAGCUAAGUAGAUCUCCCAUGCCGUUGGGUUUGUUGACUUAAUUUUGCGCCAACACAGUUCUGGCACCAUCGGCCGAGCGCGGUUUUUUCGUCAACAGGGGGUAAAAUGAAAAAAAAAGGAGAUGCUAAGGUGCCUAUUUUUUCCUCUCAGGGUGGGAUGAGGAUUUGUGGAAGGAUUCCUUAGAAAAGAAGUUUCUUGAAGGGUAUUGAAAAUAUUUCGCAAACUGAGGAAAUAACGGCUAGAAGCAUCGGAACGAAGAAUUGAACGGCUAAAGUUCCCUUAAUGACGUGGUGUUGUAUUUUGCAAGGAAAGGUUUCACUUUUCACUUAUUUAGAUAUAACACACAUGCAUGUAUUUUCGUGCAACUAGUGACUUGCAACACAUGAUCCCUGCUAGAUGCCUGUUGGCAGUCAUUAAACCCUAAAAUCACCACCAAUAUUAUAAUAAAAAUAUCACAUAAAGCAUGUUACCUAGGUCGAUUUUGCCUUAUUUCAAUGAGUUACACGAUUUCUGUUGGAUUUCACUACGCGUAUAAUAAUUCACGAUUUUGACCUAUUUUUUUUCCAAUGAAAAUCUGGCAUUUUAAGCCAAAGGGCUGACCAGCCGACCAACAUACCUCAUGGGUCAACCGGCCUAAAGACUUGGCCGACUAGCCAACUCAGGGCUCGGCCAGCUAUUUGGAAACGUGUCCUGAUUGGCCACCCUCCUCACUGAGCCGGCUGGCCUGCGCAGCACGAUGUGAGGCUAAUGAUUGAUUGGUGGACCCCAUUCUGGGAGUGAUGUCUUCUCGGAUGAGUAACAUGUAGACUUACUUUUCCCUCUUAAUAUUUUAUUCAUACAUUAUGCUUAUUGCCAUACUUUUUUUCCUAGUUCUCUUCUAAGUUUAUUUUUUAUGCUUGCUUGAGUGGAUGCCUCAUUUAUAAUUAAGCUGGGAACAUGUAUAGUUCUAUGUGUGGGUGUGGUGCUUAGGAAUAGUUUUAUCUAGGAAGGCUGGUUGGGGAAACAGAGGACGUAGUUGGCCGGGUGCCGACAGCCUCGGUUGUCCUUUGAAGCCAGCCACGUUAACCCUAAUUACGCUGACGCAAAUAGGUAGACCAAUGCUUAAUGUGGAAAGCAGUCCUGUUUCCAAAGCAAGCAAGGAUAAGUGUAGCUAAAUGGAUUUCCUAGAAUGAAAGCAGUCUUGUGAUGUGGGGAAUAACCCGGGGACUUGAAUCCUGACUAAUUCGAUGAUUUCACAACCAUAUCAUCACAUUCACACAACAAAUACAUAUAUAUAGACAAUAAUGUUCACAUUUCUAAGUGUUAACAAAAGACACACAUCACAUUGGACUAACUGGUCAAAUAAAAGAGAGUCAAACAUAGCGCAAUAAGAGAACAAAAAAAUAUAUACAUUCUUUAGUAUGCCAUCUAACUAACUAGGAAUUACUACCCAUGUCGAAACGCGGAUGACCGCACCGAGAAGGCAAAUUCUUCUUUGCCAAUCGAAGAGCACAAACAAGAAUGAGAUAGAAUACAACCAAAAUUACAGAUGAAUGAUUAAGCUCACAAGUUGGGGUCUUACAAACCGAUCUAGCGGCGAAACUAUUCUCGACAGAAUAUUCUAAGCAAAACCCGACUCUAAACGAUGACGGCUACUUAAUUAAUAUGAUUAGGGACGUCCUAGGGUUGCCCUAGGGCGCACACCCUCAUGGGCUAAGCCCACGACACAAUUAUAAGGCCCAAAACCCAAAUCAGAUUUGGAUUGGAUGAGAUACAUAACUUGUUUUGUAGAUUCCCGACAGCUCGGUAGGAAUUUUGACGUAGGACCAAAACCAUCUAAAAGUAGACUCCAUAAGCUUUCCAACAAGUACUCAUAGGCCCCGAAAUUCCUUCUAGAUCAACAUCUAGGUUCGUUUGAAGUUGAUGCUGUCAGGAGGCCCGAAUCCGAAUCCAAAACGUGUAGAACUUGAUCUCUUGUCUUCUAUGGACCAAAAGUGACGUGGUGAGGUAGAAGUAGACUUGGAGAAGGUCUUGGUUUGGUCCCCAAUCAACUUCUUUGAUCAUCCAUGCAUUCGUUACGCUCGGUCUCUUUUCCUUCGCCCAAGCAAGUACCUCUACAAACAAAAACACAUCAUUGUGUAGCAACGUUUGUUCAAAUAUAUAACAAGUAAAUCUAAUGUAGAACAUAUGUACCUUUGUUUGAUUAAUAUAUAAGGUAUCCAUGGUUAUAUCCAAACUAGUAGUGUCCUCAUCACCUAGCUAGAAGUAUCAUGACGCUAAUGGUGGUGGAUAGAAAAUGGCAAAGGAAGGGAGAUAGUGCUGUUUCCAAAGGCAGAGAUGAAGUAAAAUAGGGUUCAAUGUAAAACAAAAGGGAGAGAGAGAGAGAGCUCAAAGUGAAAAGAAUGUGUAAAGGAGGGCAAAAGUGAAACUUUUGUAGUAAAGAGGUCCACAUUGCAAACCAUCUCUAUGUUUUAAGUUUUGAUGCAUGUAAAAAUAAUGUGACUGUGACAUCCCGGCCCAAUUUGGAUUAGGCCUGUGUGGCCCAUGUGAGUUGUGUGCGUAUGUUUAGUACGACCUUAUUAGUUUAGCAUGAGUGGAACUAACUUAUAAGGCCUCUUCCCUCCAACCAUACCCUUUUACACGAAGCGAGGACGAAAGUGUAAGUGGAGUGAUGUGUGUAAGUGGGCCCGCUACGUGGUUCUGGAGGGAGGGCUGUAACAAAUGGUAUCGGAGCCGACCCUUGCGAUUGCGCGUACGGGUCAGUGUGCGGGCAUAUGGCGCUGGCACUGGACGUACGGAUGUGCGCUUCGCGGUUGCGCGUACAGGUCAGUGUGCGGGCAUAUGGCGCAUGGCGCAUGUGGGCUCUGUGUGAGGCACAUGGCAUGGCAUAUGGCGCUAGCACUGGACGUACGGAUGUGCGCUGAGAGGGGGUGUGUUCCUGGACAGUUGCCUAUAUGCCUGUGUGGCUACAUGGGUAAGUUGGGCCGACAGGGAUGUCGGGUCCUUUGAGGGGGGGGGGGGUUGUGACAUCCCAGCCCAAUUUGGAUUAGGCCUGUGUGGCCCCACUCCCGGGUUAACCCUUUUAUACGAAGCGAUGACGGAAGUGUAAGUGGAGUGGUAUGUGUAAGUGGGCCCGCCCGUCGGAUGGGCUGGCUACACGGUUCUGUAGGGAGGGCUGUGACAGUGACGUGGUCAUCACUUCCAACUUAAAUGCUAAAAAUAUUGUUCUCAAUUUGUAACCUCCAUUGAGAGUAUUAUCAUGUUCUUAGUAAUUGCUUAUUGAUAUUUUUAUGGAAAAAGAGGUGUAGGCAAUCUUCUUCACAUUAUUCAUUACAGUAAGAUCGUUACACAUUUAGUUUACUUCUCGUUGAUCUGCCACUCAGCAUACUGUUGCGGCCCACGCCUCGGAGCAAAGACAGCCAUCUCAUCGCCGCGGUUGAACUUUACAUGCCUAGAGUCCUCCCUUGAAAGCCUAUAAGCAUUGGCGACCACGUCAACGGGUAGAGCACGAAGAAUGGAGGCCUUCCCUGCGAUCUGACUGUCGACAGCAUUGUGAUUGGUCUUGAAGGAUACCCAUGCAAAUCCUUCACGUCGAGCCUUCACCACCACUGCAAAGUUCUGUGGGAUCAACAAGAUCUGCUGUUGGUGAAGCUCACCAUCAAAGACACUCCUACCACGGUGAUCCACCACCUGGAUGUGCCCUUGGCCAGCGGUCACGUACAUCACCGUGUGUGCGUUUACCGUCCAAUGAGGAGUAAGCAAGGCAUUCUACAAAAAUGGAAGUGAAUCAACAUGACAAAUACUUGGCAUAAACUACAUACAUUAUGCUUACAAACUAUAGUAAUUUUCUCUUUGUUUAUACUCACAUUUUGGAGAACGAUUCUGGUGGCACUCAUCUGGAUGAUAUUGAGUAUUGGGAAAUUCUGGCUAUUGGCCCUUGUGAUCCUUCCACCAUGGGGGUUAAAUAUGUCACUGGAUUGUGGGUUGUCUAUGUUCUUCCUCAACUUAAAUGCACACAUAAUUUCAUCUAGGACAUUUUGCUGGCCGCAAGCUCCACCACUUCGCAACCAGGUGGGCUGUAGCUGCUUGGUUGGCAAGUAAGCUUGGGUUUGUUCCUCUUUCACUGGCUCAACUUGGAGAGAGGGCUGCAGUGCCUGGAGCCCAUUUUCAACUCUAAUGAUGGCACCUCUUGGGUCACUCAGGCCUUGGAGCCUCAACACAGUUUGCUUGCUCACACUCAGGGCUUCAGAAAGUAAAUCUGGGCUGAACCCAGCAAAGAUGUUCUGAUUUCUGCUCAGUUGUUCUGUCUGGUAUGAGUACGAUUGCUGCUGCCAGCUACUUCUAGGCUUUCCAGCCAAGAAAAACUCCUAACCCAUUUAUCAUUUCAUAGUAUACAAUACACAUUAGCAUUUUGUUAUCAUUGAAAUCAAAAUAGUGAUAUGGAAUAUUCAUUAUGCUUGUGUGGAGCAUAUGUACGCAUACCCUUCUUUUAGGAUCGAGCUGGUUGGCAUUGUUGCUGGUGUCGAUGACAGUGAAAGCAACCACAGGAGAAUCACCAUUGUUAUAUAGCCAGUGGGCUACUCCAGCUGGCACUGCGAUUACAUCACCUUGGUGGAAUUGGUGAAGUUGCUGGUGCUCGUCUCUCAUUUUUUGGAUUGAUGAUUGAGCCUCACCAGCUGUUGCCACCUCUUGCUCAAAGGGAGACCUAACUGACUGGAACGUCUCUGGACAACCAGGCAGUGCCAUCCCAAACACUCCCCGACCUGCAAUAUAUCCACUCAAUUAAAAAAACCCCACAUAUUAUCAAUUAAAAAUAAAAGAAAAUAGCUACCAUUUACAAUUGUUCACAAUAUAUUGGAGCUUGCUCAAACAAUAUACAGACCUUGGACGAUGUAGACAAGCUUGUGAGCAUUAGCAUACAUUGGUAAAACUAAGCCCUUGCUCUCGACGACUAAGCGCCUCACGCUCACUCCGGCACAACGGAACUCAUUUCUUGCCUCAAUGUUGUAGUACUCAGUGAAUCCAGCUUCAGAUCUCUGCUGGUGUGUUGCCUCAAGGGCGGUGAGGUGCUCAAAACGACAUUGAUGACGACUAUCUUGGUCUCCCCUAAAUCCACGUGGGCUCUGAAGUGGGCUUCCCCCAAAUGAAAAUUGUGCCAUGGACACUUGGAAGAAGAGAAGGAGGCCAAGGCACAAUGGAAGAAUGGUAGACAUGGAAGCCAUAGUUAUUCACUUAGUUUCCCACUGCUCUUGGUGAUGGAUGGACGAGUUGGAGGAGAGGGGCUUAUAUACACGGAGUAGACGAGAAUAUAUGCAAAAAGGGAUAACAAACUUACCUAAUCUCUUUAUCAUGCUGAUGUGUUUAUAGCCUAAAGGAAUAUCUAGUUUGUCUGUUGCAAACAAGAUGAUGCAAAAAGGGCAUAGGUAAAAACUUGUAAGUCAUUAUAUGCUUGAUUGAUCAUUAAACACAUAGAUACCAUUGUUUUAAAGUUGGAAAAGUGUUUUUUUUGUUAGAGUGAAGCAAGAGUUAUGCCAUGUUUUCUUGCUAUCGCACAUAGGAAUGCUGAAAAAGAUUUUGUAUUAGUGCCACCCAAGAAAAUAAAGACAUGCUUUUAAAGGUGAGAGUUAGGGAUUUGCCUUGUGAUUACGUGGUAUGACUAGAGGACAAUAGGUUAUUGGUAGUGUAGCUACAAAAAGAGAAAACAAACUACACUAAAUUCACAAUCAGGCUAGCAUAAGAUUGCACUCUAGAAACGUACAUGUACAUUGCUUGUGAGAUCAUGACAAAAACAUAACAACAAAAUUCACUUUUUGUUAGAGUGCCGUGAGAGAGUGUCUGACCAUAAUAGACACAUUUAGGUUAAGUGUUCAAAACUAAUUUGGGGUUAAGCUAGUGCACACUAGGGAAAUAAAAUAGACUAACAAAAACAUAGGUGAAUAUUAAAUUAUAGCCCAAAAUAAAUGAGUUACGAGUAACUAUUAAACUUUAAUAGACCAGCAGAAAUAUUGGUGAAUAUUUCAUUAUAGCCCAAAUUAAACGACAUUUUAGACAUGCAAUCAGCAGCAAGGUAAGCUAGACACUAUAAAACUCCUCUUCAGCUAUGGACAAACUUCUCUUCUUCAACCUCUCUCAAAAAAAGAACUUCUCUUCUUCAAUAUAUUUGAGAUGUAUAUCACAAGGGUAAGUACUUGAAGUACUCAACAACUUAUGUACAUGGAUCCAAUUAUAUAAAUGGAUGUCUACCCUACCAAGUUUGAGUUUUUUCCGCACAAAGCCACAUUUGCUCAAAGGGGUAGUGUUAAGCAAAGAUAAUUUACAAAAAGGAUUUGGAAUGGUAGUUCAAAAGUGUUGCUUUUGUAUGCAUGAUGAAACUAUCCAACACAUUUUCUUUGAGUGCCAUGUUUGCUAAAUUUCUAUGGAGAGUAGUCUUUAUCUCAUUUGGGUUACAAAGGCCACAUAGUUUUGUUCAUAUAUUUGGAAAUUGGCUAGUUGACAUGGACUCCCAGACAAAGAAACAUAUUCUAACAGGCAGGGGCUGAUGCAAGAUAAAAAAUGACUGGUGGCAUGCAUCUAUAACUCAUAACAAGUUAGAAAGCUAAGUGAAACUCACCUCAUUGCAGCUUAUAAAAACUUUGAGAUAUUACAUUAUCUUAAAUAGUAAUAUAUAGAUAUGCCUUCCAAAUAAUGUUAUUGCCUGUAAAGACAACAUAAAGUUAGCACAAGCCAUAUAAAUAUUACUAAAUGGUAAAUAUAGAUAGGGCAUACAGUGCAUCCUUUCCACGGUGAUACUUAGUGAUUGUGUCCGACAUAUCCUUUUCUACAAAGCAAAUGAGGCUAUGGCUGAGAUACUUGUCAUCCAUCUUGUUGCACAAAGCAUUCUUCACAACCUUCAUUGUUGAGAAACACCUAUCCGCAGUUGCAGAGGCAAUAGGAGAGCAAGAGAUAAUUUUAAAAGAUGAUAAACCAAUGGAUAGGAGAGAUGAUUCCUUGUAUCUACCUGUUGGUAUUUGAUACGGUCACAGAUAAAUCCGCAAGCGCACGGAUACCGCUGUAGCACUUCACCUUAGAGUAUUCCAAGGGUAUCUAAUCGCAGGGAACGUGUAUGUAUAUGUAGGAAUAUAAUUAUAUCCAAGCACAACUACUGGUAGGUUCAGUCUAGAGAUGAUUCCUAUGGGUUAAUUUACUAACUUAUGUUAAAUGUAAAGCCUCAUGGAUUGCUUCGAGCACCGGCUCUCCCCUAGUCUGCCAAGCUAAGUCUAGCCUGUAGCUCUAUGAUAUACCCGAACAUGGAGGGAUACAAAGGACGGACGGGACUGUCACCACCUUCCUCCUACCUCACUUUCCAUGGAGCACACUACAUAUGAAGAUAACCGCUGACCUAGACACCACGCUUAUGUUAUUGAUUACUACUCUAGCCUCGUGAAUAAACUUUCUUAUUUAUCCAGAGUCCUAGUGCUAGAGCGCUUAAUAAUAAUACUAAGUGACAAACCUGCAACGAUGGGAAUAUAUCUGACUUAAGCAAGUAAAUUAAAUACCAAAAAUAAAUCUUGAACACUUACUUUAUUAAAGAAGCAUCCACCGAGGUACAAGAGAGGAAAGAGUGUCUACAGCUCCUGCACUCCUUCGGACCUACCCCUCACUCUCUACCUAUUUUCUCCACUAACUAAAGUGAUGCCUAAAAUAUGAAAGUGAGUUGUACUCCACUUUGUUGUAUGUUUGAGAGUGACUUGAGCUCCUCCUUUUAUCUGGACAUAUGAUGGUUGUGGAGGUCGGUUCACCCACAACCGCCAUCAACAUCUAAUGAGAGGCCGCCAACCUUGGUUCGGCCGAACCAGGCAAACCGCCUCUGGCCACCAACCUUCUCUAGUGCAUGAUAGGUGAGCCCCUAUGACGGUUAGUGCUGGAUUAGCUCAAUUUUAGUCAGUUUUGACUGACAUUUGGCCCCCCAAUCCUUGUGCUCAUGUAUGAUUGGUCGGAGGUUCAUCGUCGCUUGGCGGGUUUGUUUUCAUCUAUAUAUCACCGGCAUACAUAUAUUUACCAAUACUAGUGGAAAUGGUUAGUAAUAAUCCCCUACCACUAAGUUUGGUAGUAUAUUCUGUAUUCUACCAUGAACUUUUCAAGUGUCUAUCAUGUCAUCUUGGGUGAUUGAAGAAUGGAACGGCCUUUAUUCCGAUCGCCUUUACCUCCCUCUAAUGAAUUAUCUUAGUUUUUUCUUUUUAUCAUAAAACAUAACUUUUUUACUUUACUCCUAAAUUGAGUCUCUCAUACCGUCAUUGUGUUUAAUUCUCGUCAAGGCAUUUGAUGUUGCCUUUUCUUAUCCUACCUUUCUAAUAAGGAUUAUGUAGAGCUCAGGGUAGGGAAUAAGAAUAACAUACUUGCAUCAAAUAUUUUGUAAAGUCAAAAGGUAGAUCCAAGGAGACUAAUAGACAUACAAUUAUGAUCAAGAUGUGCAUGUGUGUGGAAAGGGAUGUGUAUGUGGAAAGGUGGAAAAUGGGAUGAUAUCAUUUUCUAUAUGAUCCUCCUCCUUAUACUUUAUUUGGAGAACAUGGCUAUGUUCUAUAUCUUUUUUUUCAUCAUGCUAGAGAAUAUUUUUUCUUCUCUUGUGAGCAUUUUGAUUUUCUAACAUCAUCAUUUUUUUAGCUCAUCUCAUUUGGCAUGGAUAGUAGGAUGGAGAAUCAUAAUCAUGUUGGGUUUUUAUUUGGUGAAUGAAUGAUGGUUGAUGCUGAUUUCCAGAGAAGAUGUAUAUCAUGUGAUGGUGGAUGGAAUAUUUUGCUGAACCUCCAGUGUAGAGGGAGAGCAAUAUAUGGUGGAUAUGUGCACAUGGUGAUGAUCAUGAAAGUACGAAAAGAAUCUAAAAAGAGACUCAACCAUUUGACCAAACUGAAAAUGAUAACAAGCAGCAUAUGUUUUAAGGUUUAUCAAUAAGAUCGAUAUAUGGCUUUGGUAGGAACAAAACAUCGAUGAGGAGUACAUAAAUUUAUACUGUUUUCAUUUUAUAAUAUUCCCAAGGACUCAAUAGAAGAAAACAAGGGUCAUAUUAGCAAAUAAUCUCUCAUUCAUCAGUCACUUAGAUGACAUGUGUUUCUAAUGAUAUGUUCAUCAGUCACUUAGCAAAUAAUCUCUCAUUCAUAUGUUCACAAGCACACGGUAAUAUGCAAGGAACAUAGAGUAUGCAAGACAUUUUUAGUUAAGUCAUAAACUCUAGCUAAAUUAUUCGGGCACAUUUUAAAAGUUGAGUUUAAUUUUCAGAUAUGUUUCAUGGUACGGAUUAUCAAACUCAAAAUUUAGAGAGAUGAGAGGAUAAACAUGCAAAACAUCGUGUAGUGAGUGUGGCGACGAGCAACACUAUGUCUAAAGAUUUCCAUGCACGAAGAGUUUCACCCAAGAGUUGAAGAGCAAUACUAUGUCUCCUGCCUCAAAUUCCUUCACCAUGACUCGCCUAUCAUGCCAUCUUUUUGUUCUUUCCUUAUACAUUUUGGCAUCGUGAUAGGCUUUAUCCCUCAAUUCCUCCAUCUAUAAUAGCUACAACUAUCUAUGAUGUCUGGCUUCUCCUAGGUCAAUAUUCCAUGUCCGGGUGGCCCAGUGUGCUCUGUGCUCCAGCUCGACCGGUAAAUGAUAUGUUUUUCCAUAUACGAGCUGGUAAGGUGACAUGCCUUUAGGUGUCUUGUAUGCGGUCCUAUAUGCCCAAAAUGCAUAGUGUAGUUUGUUCUUCCAUGCCUUCCCCAUCUCAUGUAUGGUAUUCUGCGAAAUGUUCUUGAUCUAUUUGUUGAAUGUUUCUGCUUGACCACUUGUCUGGGGAUGGUAUGGGGUUGCAAUGUUGUGCUACGCCCCAAGCUCAUGUAAAAAGUUUUGGAAUGUCUUAUUAAUGAAGUGAGACCCUUUUUCACUUAUUACCAUCCGCGGUGUUCCAAACCGAGGAAGGAUGACCUCGUGGAACAUCUUGCUAGCGUGCUUGGCGUCGGUGGAGCAGCAUGACAUUGCUUACACACACUUGGACACAUAAUAGCCACUAGGAUGUACUCGCAAUAAUGGACUUAGGGAAUGGUCCCAUGUAAACGAUGAUCCAUGCAUCAAAUAGUUCCACUUGAAUAUUGUAUGUUAAGGGCAUCACAUCGUGAAUAGUGAUACCUCCGUGCUUCUAGCAUCCUGCACAUCUUUAAAUGAAUUCUUUUAUAUCUUCAUACAUGGUGGGCCUGAAGAAUGCACUCCGCCAGAUCUCUGCUUGCACGCGAAAUGCACCACAAUGGCCUUCAUAUGGUGAUGCAUGGAAUUUUUCAAUGAUCUGGAUGCUUUUUGCUGUCGGUACAUAUCUUUUGAGUAGUUUGUCUGAAUAGACUCGGUAUAAGUACGGUUCGUCCAACAUAGACUCGGUAUAAGUACGGUUCGUCCCACAAGUGCCUUCUGCUAUCAUAGAUGAUGCACCUUUUGUUCUCCCCAGUGGUACAUACCAUGCAACCAUAAAGUUCACAAUAUUUGCACACCAGGGUUGCGAGUAUGUUACUUUGGUAACAUGCCAUCCCGUAGAAAAUCAUUUAUUUGCUGUUCAUGCAUGUUAGUACUUAGCAUAUGCGACAAAUGAACUGCUACGUAAUUUUCUACUCCAAAUUUAUCUUUAAUUUCAAGAUCAAAUUAUUAAAGUAGGAGAACCCAUCUAAUAAGCCAAGGUUUUGAAUCUUUCUUAGUGAGCAAGUAUUUUAAUACAGCAUGAUCAGUGUAAACAAUAACCUUAGCUCCAUCUAAAUAAGAUCUGAACUUGUCAACUGCAAAAAAAAAGGGCCAGGAGCUCCUUCUCAGUUGUGGUAUAAUUUAAUUGAGCUCCUAUUAGCGUUUUAAUAGCAUACGCGAUAGCAUGGUGUUUUUAUCUUUAGUUUAGCUGAGAACGACACCUACAACAUAAUCACUAGCAUUGCACAUGAUUUCAAACGACAAUGACCAAUCAGGGGGUUGAAUCAUUGGUGCUGAAAUGAGUGCUUCUUUUAAGAUACUGGUGAACGUGCACGUGCAAAGCACAUUGACAUAUACGAUUGAAGAAAAAUACAUUCAUUGCUAAUGUACAUCUACAUAUACUCACAAAUUAAAGCUCAUAGUCAUUGAUAAAAAUAAAAGUAUUGUAAACAUUGUCUUGGUAAUUCAUUGAAUAAAACUAAUUUGUUAUUGUAUUACAACGUAACAAUUGUUUUUCAGUGAGAAACUUAUUUUCAUUAUAUUUAUGUUACUUUAUGCCAUGGAUUACACAGAUAAUGGUUAAGCCUGUAAGAGUUCAACUAUUAUGAGAACAAACGACGAUAGCUAACUCAUCAAAAAGCGAGAUAGCAGUCAUAUAUUAUCAAAAGCUAGUAAAUGUACAAAUACAGCUUAGAAUAGAUCAGUGAAUCAGCAGUGAAUGUUUCCCAAUUUUCCUCUUUCAUAGUCUGAAGAGCAUUAAAUAGUUUGAUUUGGAUAUAUAAACAUGUACAUGAGAUUUUAAUGAGCUAAUUUUCCACACAUUUAGCAGGGUAAACUCGGGCCAAAAUAAUAAUUAUGAUUGAAACAAAACUUCUCUAAAUUGUUUUCUUUGGGCAAAAAACAAAAUUCGGUUUGAACAUAUCAUAAAGCUCACAGAAAACUAAACUGCAAAAUCAGUACCUGCAAAGUUUAGGCGCAUAUAUUGUGCUGCAUUUGAAGUUACUUUAUUAUGUAUAGAUAGACAUUAUUCUGUCAUUUGAGAUUUGUAACAACAUGAUUGGGCAUGAUGAUCUACAUAGAAAAAUUCCAAUGGAAAGAUAAGUACAAACACUAUUAUGCCAUAUGUAUUAAUCAUAUCUAUUGCGCACCACCAUGAGGUCCCGGACUGAAUGGUAUAUCAUCACUUCAUUACACCCUUACUAUCCUUGAUUUUGGCACCAGAACAGGUCACAGGGCGAGAUAGAUUUUUUUAUUUGAAUGAGUCUGUGUCAUACAACAUAAGACUGUAAAAGGGCAAAAUUUAAUUGCUGGGUAGGUUCAACUCGAGAAGCAUAAAGUUAGUACAUAUUAUGCAUAGAUUAUACACCGCAACAGAAUAAAGAGGUUGCAGUAGAGGAUUGGAGGAAAAAAAUCUGUAGAGAUCAAAUAGUGCUUUUGGCUCAUUAAGCAACAAAAUCAGUUCAUUAUGUAUUUGGCUCAAUUACAAUCGGAUAAGUUUAUUAUCUUUUGAGGUAGUCAUAGAAAUAUUCUACCAAAAAAUAAGCAGUUUUCAGCGAUCAUUAUCUAUAUAAUAAUGCAAGCAUCUACAGAUCUAACUACAAACGAAAAAUUUCUCUCAUGCGUUUCAUUAGCAAUUUUAAAUUUAGAUUCUAUUAACAAUGCCUAACUGGUGAAAAUAAGGUACCUUUAAAUUUUUGAAGCUACUUAUUUAAAAGCUAGGAUCGAUCCAAAUCUCAAGCCCAACAAACCAUUUAGACUUACACCAUGCAGGCAGGGCACCAUGCAGAAAAAACACGUCAAAUUUUGUAAGGAAUAUAAAUGAAUCAGAGAGGAAUGAUGAUAGCUUGACUCACCAGAGGCUAUGAUGGCAGACCAACCGGAGAGCGAAUGGGCGAUAAGAGAUGUUUUCUCCUCCCUCUCAUGACCAGAAUAAAUAGGAGCCUGGUAGAUUUCCAAAUUUCAAUGGCAGUCGUAGGGAAGAAACCACCACCCAAUCUAUCGCAGUAGAGUAAGGAGGCGAUAAUAUUAGCAGCAACAAUGCAGCGGAUACAGACAAACGUCGUUUAUCAAAUCGACACUAAAGACAAAUGAAGUUGAUGAAAUCGAUGAGUCAGGUGAUGUGAAGUUGACUAACAAACCAAGAGAUAAGCUUUCAUGGAGAUGGAUUCAUCAAGAUAAACAUCUCCAACUACCUGAAUGAAUUCCAUGGAGAUGGAAGCAUAAGAGGUAUGCUUACAUUUCACAAAAUAAUUCUAUAGAAAUCUGAAAUGGAUGUUAUACCAGUGACUUGUAUAUACCUGCAUUCGUUUAUCAGCACUACUCUUUUGCCUCAGUCCAUUGACCUCAACCUCCACAACCUGAGAAAUGAAUGUAUUGAAGAAAUAAUUGUUUUCCGAACAGUAGUAUAUCACAUCUAAAGAAAAGGAAAGCGAGGCAGACCUAGUAGCAGGAGAUGUGAGAGUUACCUCUGAUCGGCUGACAAGCUGGUGAUAGAAGGGCACGGUGAGGACGUGAGGUUGGCAUUGAUCAUCAGGCCCAGCGUGCUGGUGGGAAGAGCCUCUUGAACUGCUCCUGCGCUGCAGAGGAAGCAUGGAGAGGUGCACCUUGCGGAAGUCCUUCUGCUACUGCUCGUGUGGAGCCACCAACAUUGUUCUCCAAUGUAGACUAAGACAAAAUAUAUCAGCAGUCCUUACUACAAAAAAAAUAAUCAACGGAUGUAUAAACAUUUUGGUGGUCGGUUCUGAUUUUGAAAUUAUCUGGGUAAAAAUAUGUAACCUAUAUCAAGUCAAUUUGAACAUAUAAAAGUAAAAUCAGAAACAAUACUUGGAGUUGAGAAAGAUCAAAGGCAGUUUAGUGAAUUGAGGAUAUGUGCGCGCUUCUCAAAUUUGAGCAUGACGACCUAGAUUAUCCAUCAGAUUAAUCAGAUAGGUAAAUCUCACUGAGUUCAUUCAAAUCUGGACAGUUUAUGACCUGCAAGAAAUUAAUAUCUCAAUGAACUUGCAAUGGUUAAUCAAUUUAACUGAAAAUACUUGUAGUAGCAGGUUGUGUUAUCAAUUUUGUUAGGGAAGAAAGAUCUGAUAGCCAUAGCGUUGAAAGGCUUGAAGAGCUUAUACUAACAAAACUGAGAUUGCCGCAGCCAUCCAUCUAAUUUGAGAACUGGUAGAAAUCAUUUAUCUGAGACAAAUAUAUUUAGCUCAUCCCUGUGUUGACAAUCACUGAAGUCAAUUAAGAGAGCACUCAAGACUUAAAAUGCAGAUUGAACUGAUUAGGGGGAGAAUAGUUAGUACCUGGUUUAGACUUUAGAGGGAUGUCGUCAUGUCGUCUUCAGCGAGCGAGGUCAUUCCAGUGGACUAUGGCGUGGUACGGCAAGGCGGCGAGGGCAGGACGGAGCUGAAGGAGCAGGCGAGACGGUGUCGGCGCAAAUAGAUCCCCCCUCUCCUUCCUCUCCAUCGCGUCGCGAGUAGGGAACUAAGGACACCGGCUGUUCGGCCCGCGCGCGAGGAGGCGGUGCGGCAGGGUGGGCAGAUCCCGUCUCUCCUUCCUCUCUGUCCCAGUGUGAGCAGGGAAGCAAGAGGCCGAACAGCCGGGGUAGGGCGAGGUGGCUCCGGCGGGCGCGCGCAAGUCGGCGGCGGUGGCGCGAAGGGCAAACGGCGGCGACGGCGCGAGGAGUAGACAGCGGCGGCUCCAUGCGGCAGGGCGAACGGGAUGAGAUUGUGAAGAGGUGGAGGAGGGAGUGGGGAACCGGCGGGCGUGCACAAGGAGGCUGCGGGGUAGGGCGCGUGGUUCCAGCGGGCGUGCAGUCGGAGCCGGCGGCGGCGGCCGGCUGUCCUGCGGGCGCGCGCAGGAGGCGGCGAGGGGAGGUGGGGAGGAGGCGAGGCGGCGGAAGGAGGAGGAGGAGGCGCGGUGGCAGAAGGCGGAGAAGGCGUAGGAGGAGGAGGCGCGGGCGGUCUGGGCGACGAUUUCCUUUUUUUUCCGAUUUGGCGAAGAGAGGGAUUGAGAAGCGCUAAUCGCGGGGUUAAUCCGGCGCAGAUUGCAAUCGCGGUGUUAAUUGCACUAAACAACUCGUGCUUUUUAUAUUAGUCUAGAUUAAUAGAUUUUAAACAAUCAUCAUGAAAGUUAAAGAGAACAUUCUUAGCUAACAAGCUAGUUAGGGGUCUAGCGACUAAAGAGAAAUUUUUAAUGAACCAACGGUAGAACCCCGCAUGACCCUAAAAGCUACGAACUCCUUUAACAUUGGUGAGAGGUGAAAGCUAUUAAACUACUUCAAUUUUUUUUUGCUCUAUCUACCUCAACUCCCCUUUCGGAGACUCAGUCCUAGGACUAUACCUUCACGGACCAUGAAGUGUCACGUUUCCCAAUUAAGUACCAAGCCCUCCUCUUGACAUCAUUGCAAGACUUUGUCUAUUUUUUAUAAACAAUGAUCGGAGGUUUUUCCAUUGAUGAAAAAAAUCAUCCAUGAAAAUAUUCAUGAUUUCCUUGAUCAUGUCAGAGAAAAAAACAUCAUGCUCUAUUGGAAUGACGCGGGUGCGUUACUGUUGACGGUCGUUAUUGAUCAGUUUCGCCCGUCAAUAUUACCAACAUAACGGAGACUAAGUUAUGCGUGCAACGCAUAUUAUCUCAAAAUAAGAUAUAUUCCACUAGCACUAGGCUUUCUAACCUCUUGCAGCGAAUAAACAUAAAUUGAAGGCGAUUUGACAGCAAAAUGGACGAUCAAUCAAUCGGGCGCUGUCGAGAAUCAGACUUAUAGAAGGAUGGGCCAAUAACUCAGAAAUGACAUGACCAAAUUGGGCCAAAAUUUACAAGUCUGCGGAGAGUAGCAAAAGAGGAGGCCACCUGCCAGAUUUGGGCCAGGCCGGCCUAGCCCAUGGUUGGGCUGAACCCACCGCGGCUCCGUUCAAUGCAGGUUUUGAUGGACGGUCUGGAUUGCUCCCCUAUGGCGGUUGGAGGGUAUUACCGACCUUUCCAACUGCCAUAACCGUCUUUCUCAAGCUAUAUAAAGCCCUCUCAUCCUCCAUUUCAAGACACACCUCAAGCAUGAAGCUUCAUACAUUCUCUCAAGUUUAGUAUAGGGCACGUUUGGAUCCUAGGCUAGCAACUUCCUCUCCUUGCUAGGCUAGGCUGGUCAUUUGGUAACUACUUUAAAAACUAGCUUUGCUUAGCAAACUAGCCUGCCUUGGCUAGAAAAUCUUUGACCGUCAAGGAGAGCCAAAAUGGCUCUCCUUCAUCGGCAAGCUCCUGAACAAGCAACCUUGCUUUGGUGGGCUAUAGUCUGGUUGAGCUAGGCUAGUUGAGCAAAAACUAUCUAGAGAUCCAAAUGUGCCCAUAGUCUCUAGAGUAUACUGGAAUAGAAAUAGAAAUAGAAUCUUCAGUCCUCGGAGUCUUCGAAAGUUCUUCAGGUAUGGCUCUAGUAGCUUUUCCUUCUUUUGUAAGACUUGUACUAUUUAUAGAAUAUUCUUCUCAAUAUAUUUACGGUACUUUACUUCAUUCUGAUUAUUCGAGUACUGACUUUCCGAUAUAUUAUUCGAGAUAUAAUUGUCUAGCUAGCUUACUCGGGAGAUGCAAUGGUGUAGGUAUAAUGUUCAUUUACAUGAAUGCUCUAUGUCAUGACGAUAAUUAUAGAGUAGUAUUUGGUAGCAUAAGCGAGGUGUUUAGGCUAUUGAAUAUCAUUAUUUGGGGUUAUAUGCUGCGGAUACGUCGAGGUGGGCCACUGAUUAUGACAGCUUAGUAUGGAUAUUCCUCUACGCGUGUAUAUAAUCCUAAGUUACUUUCCUAGGGAGGGUACUCCUCCGUAUUUAGCCCCGGUUAGAUGGCCAUGACUGGUUGUCGUAAGGAACUCGGCAAUCAGGAGUGGUCUCUCGAAACACCAAGAGGGCAUCGUAAGGGGGGUAUUGGCUGUAUAAUUGUAUAGUAGAUAAGAUUGACUAAAGUAUAUGUAUGUAUAUUAGAAGUAUAGGAAAUGACUCUAUUCUUAUUCUUUCCACUUAGCCUAAAUUAAUAUGUAUGAGAAUUGUGAAUGCUUCUGCUUAGUGUCACCCUACCCUUUUGAAUUGAACUAACCCCUGCUUAGACUUUGAUUAUUACAAGUAACAUAUAAAUAUUAGCUUGGUUAUCUCUAUUAUAAUCUUUCCACGGGAUUAAACAAAUAAGAUACCCUUGAAAUACUCUUGGGUGAAAUGCUACAAUUGUAUAUCCGUGCUCUUGCGGAUGAAAUAUGUAACCAUAAUGUACCAAGAGUGUUUCUGUGCCAUUGCUAGGAAUUAUAUUUCUAGUAAUGUCAUUAAGAAAUACCAACAGUUACACAGCCUGAACAACAUCCGUCGGUAAGCAUACAUUCCACAAGGACACAUGAACGUUGUCUUGCUUUUAUCAUUGGAAUGGAUGGGAAUUCGAUGAUAGCUAGAAUAGCCAUAAAGGAAACGGAAAAAUGAGUGAUUCACCAGCAACUCUAGCAUAUCAUCAAUGAAGGGCAUGGGGAAGUGGUCGUUCCUAGUAGGGGUGUGAUCGAGUUUUCAAUGACCGUCAUACCUCCCGGAACAACUUGGACUGGGCUAACCCACUCACUAUAUGGGAUGGGAUAAAUUAUCCCGACAUGUGUUGGUAUUUCUUAACAACAUUACUAGAAAUAUAAUUUCCCAACAAUGGCGCUAGAAAUGAUCCUGGUAUAUAAUGUUUAUAUGCCACUUGUAUGAUCAGAGUCUAAGCAGGGGUUAAUAUAUUUAUAAGGGUAGAGUGACACAAAGCAAAGAACUCAUAUCUCUCAUUAAUCAAUCCUACGCUAUGUGGAAGAAGAAAUAGAAAAGCAAUCAAUUCCUAUACUUCUAGUAUGCACUCAAUCUUAGUUUAUAUCUGUUAGUAUACAGCUAUGUAGCGAAUACCCCCUAAUAGUGUCCUCCCGGUGUUUCGAGAGACCACCUCGGGUUGUCGAGUUCCUUACGACAACCCAUCAUGACCGUCCAAUCGGGGCUAAAUACGGAGGAGUACCCUCCCAAAGAAAAUUUCUUACGAAUAUAUACUAUCGUGGAGGAAUACUCAUACUGAGCUGUCACCAUCAGCAACCCACCUCGACUGAACCGUAGCAUAUAUGCCUAGAUAGUGAUACUUAAUAUUCUAGACACCACGUCUACAUUAUUAAAUACUACUCUAUAUCCCCCGAGAUGACAUAGAGCAACCGAGUAAUCGGAUACUAAACCCACACUAUUGCACCUCUCUGGUGGGCUAACUACACAAUUAUACCGAUACAAAUAUAAAGUAAAGCCGAUACUCAAAUAAACUAAAGUACCGAGAGUAUAUAAAGAAUAACAUUUCAUUACUUCCGAAAGUCUUACAAAAGAAUAAGAAAUAGCUACUAGAGCCAUACCCGAAUUCCUUCGAAGACUCCGAGGACUCCGAGAGCUAUUCUAUUCUACUCCACUUAGCACUAGAAUACUAAACUAAAGUAUAGGGAGAAAUGUUGAGCUUGCUUGGGUGUGUUGAGAAUGAAUUGAGCUCCUCCUUAUAUAGGCAGGUAUGACGGUCAUAACUGAUGCUAAUUGUCUGAAAUGCCUCGCAACUGCCUUCAACAAGUGAUCCUGGACGUCCACGUGUAAGGCCAGCCUAAGCCAGCGCUGCCAGGGUUCCUGGGCUGGCCCAGCAGGCCUCCAAACUUUCCCAGGUCACUGACAGGUGGGUCCCUAUGAUGGUUGUGACAGUUAUGGCGGUUUCCGGGACAUGUGGGCCCAUCUUAUCCUUAAGCUUGCUUAGGAGUGAAAUGUCUUCAUUUCUUCUCCAUUUAUGUAUUAAUAUCUGCAAAUAAAUAAUAUUCUAGGUACAAGUGGAAAUAGAUUAUUCUAAAACAAAUAUGAAUUACAAGCAUAGCUAGUUCUCUGUUAUUUUAGUUAUAUUGACGGUCGAAAUUGGUCUAUAACGACCGUCAACAGCAUGUUGGAGUUUCAACACUUUUAUUUUCACGACUUUUCUGUUGGUGGCUGUUAAAUACCAAUUUUAUGCUGCCAAUACCUGGAUAAACAGAAGAAAUAAAACAUCCAACAUAGUGAAAGGGUUUAAUUCUAACAUAUUCCAUGAGUGUUGGUGUAUAUUUGAGUGCAGGUAAUAGACCACCAAAGUUGGGAUGAAAUCCAGACUUAUGUAAAGGAAGAAUCCUAUCCAUACAAAGAGUAGGCCUUGAGUUACAUCAAAACAUCAUCAAAUGGGCCAAAUGCACGAGAAAUGGAUAAGGCAGAGCAAGGAGGAGAACCAGACCAGAUUUGGGGGCAACCUGGCCCAGCCUAGGUUCGACCGUGGUGAUCGCCGUUGGAUCCAGGUUUUCGUAUGGAUGCUCCAGAUGCUCUCCGGAUGGCGGUUGCGGGGCAUUUUGGAAAUUUCGCGUUUUCCAACCGCCAUUACCGGCCUAUAUAAGGACAUCACUUCAUCACUUAUCACACACACUCCAAGCUUGAGCUGAAUUAUAAGAGGCUCUAUUGUACUUUAUUGUAUACUAGAAUGAGGGAGAGAGUAGAGUAGAGAAAGUCGGAGGAAUUCCAGAGUUGUCGGUAAUCGUCUUCUUAUUUCUUUUACUCUGUUAAUUACUCUACUUUAAUAGAAAUAUCAUUCCGAGCAAUUAAGAUUUAUUCGGUGAGAUUUAUCUCUUGGUUAGUUCCUAAUUAGCGCGCAGGAUCAUUGAUCACUAUAAUCCAGUAAAAAUAGUGGUUGCUUUAGUGUUUAGCUAACGCUAAAGUAGUUAUUAGCUGCGUAGACGUGGUGUCUGGGUAGUUAAUUUCUGGUGGUUUCUUCGUAUCCCACAGAAUGUUUGAGGUGGGUGUAGAGGUGGUGACAACCCUCAAUUACACUGAAGUCCUCCCUGUCUGGGUACGUAAUAGAGUCAUAUCUGGUAGCAGUGGGCUAGCCAGUGCCCGAAGUGUCGUGUUAGGAUUAAAUUGGGCUUUCCCUAGACACUGUCUCUCACUAGUAAAUCCUCUCUACCCUUAGCCUAUCUUAACUUCGUGUCCUUGGAUGAACCUGGAGAAGAGCUGACACACAAGUUCCAUAUGGAAAUUGAUACCUUGGAAUACUCCCGGGUGAAGUGCUACAUCAGUAUCUUCCGUGCACUUGCGGAUUUUAUCUGUAACAUUAAGAAAUACCAACACUCUCUCAUGGCAUUAUUUAGUCUUCAUUGUGGCUCUCGAGAGGGCGCACAAGAAGGAUCUAAAGGAAUGCGAUGAGUAUAGUGAGUUGCCUUGAAUAGAGCGAUGUUUUUCUAACACGGCUGUGGAUUUGGAGGUCUUGGCAUCGGAAAGCUUGUCCCUUAUGAUGACAGCCAACUCCAUAUCACCGUGCAAGAAGUCACAGAAAAGGUGUCACACCCGGAGUUUCCCCUUUUCCGUAGUUUCCAAUUCACCAAUAAAUUGUCUAUAGAACUUACUUUCGUUAACCAGGAGAAAACCUUAAUUAAUAAUGUAUUUGAUAAUUGGAAAUGUCAGGGAGAAUCUUUUUCGAGUUCUCUUUGCUCUAAAAUCAUUAAUAGGACUUAAAGCUGAAUAUUCAGAGCAUCGGAGUUAAUGUUUUUAAUUUAAAUUGUCAAGAUUUGAAUGAAUAAUAACCUUUCUCUCCUGCCUUUGGUCAUGAAUCGUGCCCGAUUCACUCCUUUCUUCGUCCGCGGUUUCAUUUUGCAUGAUGAGCCGAGUCCGAAUCCGUUCGCGGGUCCGUUUCCGUUCUUUUCCUAAAAUGGCACCGCAUUUCUUUUCCAAUUUGGGAAAGUCCUUAUCCUAAUCCUUUUCCUAUUUUUCCUCCCCUCCUCCCACUCGGCCGCUGCUCCCCCUCUCUCCCUGCGCGCGUGCCUCCCCUCCCCCUGUGUCCGAGUCGGCCUCCUCCCCCUCUCCCUUUUGCCGACUCCAGCCCCACUAGUCCCACCUCCCUCUAUUUUUUCCCCUCUCCAAUAUAAGUUAGAACACCCCUUUUUUCCUAUUCAAUUUUAUUUGUCCCUAGCCCUAGCCACCGCCGUCCGCCCUAGCCCCACCGUCGCCGUUGCCGCGCCGGUGCCGCAGCCUCCUGCCAGCGCCGUCGUCGCCAUUACAUCUUCUGUAAUCCGUUUUCCCUCUCUGUGCCAUGGCUACCGCCAUUAUCUAUCUCUAUUCUAAUUUAUCUCCGUCCUAGGUUUUGAUUUGGCGUCGCCGUCAUCUCCGCGUGUUGCUGCUGGACCGUCGUCGUCGUCUCCUCGCCGAUCAUCUCAGUUUGGUGAGGAACCUAUCCAUAAUCUCCUGGUUUAGGUGUUAAUUUUUUUAGCAUCGUUGUCGUAACCCUAAUUGUUUAGUCCUGCUAAACCCUAGUGUCGUUGCACCGCCGCCACCCUAGCCGCCACGCCGCUGCCCUAGCCGCCGCUGCUGUGCGCCUAGCCGCCGCCAAGCCGAGCCACCGCAGCCGCCACCUUAGCCGUCGCCACCGCCGCUCUUCCGCGUCGUCAUCAUGGUUUGUCGCUACCAGUAGCUCGGUAGCCGAGUCGCAAAGCCGUAGGUGCAUCCCUAAUCUCCUACCGGCCUAUCGUUUUCCAUACCAAGUCUCAGUCGUAAACUGUAUAUAGUUUACCGAUUUAGCCAUAGUCAUUCUGAGCCGCCGGUUCCGUUCGCCAGUUCGGUUGACCGUUUGGAUGGUCCCAUGUCACGAAGUAUUCGCUUGUUGAGUCGUUAAUUCGUGAGGCUUGCUUACCGAAGGUAUAUUUCCAUUGAUCUAUUUAUCUAUGGGCAAUAAUAUGUAAUAAAUGAUUAGGGUUUUUGGGUUAUUAGUAAUAACGCGAUUCAUAUUGUAAAAUUCACAACUAAAUAAUUUGAGCUCCGUUUUAACCCAUUCAAGUUGCAGUGAAUUUGUUAAAAUGUAUAGAAUCCAUUAAAAUUGGUUUCUUUUGCUCUUUCAGUAGCCUUGUUGCUUGUAUUUCUUGUAUGCUUUGUUUAUCGUUUAUAUUCCAUCAGUUCCGGUGAUCCAGUUUAUUUCGAAGUGGUUGCCGAGGUUCAGUCAACUCAAGAGCAAGGCAAGUCAUACAUACAACAUUGAUCAUGUUGAAUCUAUUUUACAAAUCCCCUGCUUUCUAUUAAAUUGCAUUGUUUUAGAAUGUCAUGUGGGAUGGAUGCCUAUCAUACUGAGCCUGUUGAAUAUCUUAUGCCAUUAAUAACUUGGGAUAUAAUUGAUUAGAUGAUUGGUUUAGGAAUGCUUAGCUAUGCUUAGAUCAAUUAGCUCACAAUGGGAUUCAUUAUAAUUUAGUCCUUAAUUAUAUUAUGAUGUACCACCAUGGUUAUGGUUUAAUUAAACUAAAAUAUGCUUUAAUGGUGGGCUAUAGGUACAUGCAUGAUUUUGGAAGUUGUGCCCAUGACAAUUAAGGACCGGUUCUCGGGAAUCCCUGGAAGAUAUACUCGUACUUACCCUAGGCCAGCGUGGGCUCUAGGCUGAAUCUAGAUUAUAACUUAACCUAGCUGACAUACCAUGGCAAGGGUAGAGACGAUGGUGCAGUUUGGACCUGGAUAUUGGUCUCUGUUGUUUCCGGAUUUACCUAGGCACGAGAGGGGACUGCCCAACUUGGAAUAAGUAGGGGGUGAAACUUGAGGUGGGUAUGUUCGGUUAGGGAGAGUUAUAGGAAGGGUUUUGUCUCGAUAUCCCCCUUUGCAGCAUCGUGGUGGUAUUUCGGGGCAUGGUAACAUGUGCGGAAUCGUGUCUUGUGAGUAAAGUUGUACACCUCUGAUCAGAGUUAAAACUAUUCGAAUAGCCGUGCCCACGGUUAUUGGGUGGCCAACCAGCUCACCGUGAUUAGUCCUACUAUAAUAAUUUGACUUAUAGAACUAGUGUAGUUUAGGUAGUUUGGUUGGGCGUGUUGCAACGUAGAUUUAACGUUGUACAGUGAUGAUUUAAUACUGCUUAACUAUAUACUAUUUUACUUAUUCAAAAUAUGAUUUAUAAAUACUUCUUUUAUUGCAAAUAUUUAAUGAGCCAUUCCUUUGAGAAUACCUUGCAUCAUACCUUCCUGUUGGUAUGACUUGUUGAGUACGGUGGUUGGUACUCAGUCUUGCUUUAUCCCCCCCCCCCGAGAAGCAGAGAUUGGUUCAGAUGGUGAGUUCUAUGAGGAUUGAGCUUGUUCCAGACGUCGAGGAUUGCAUGUGGUUUAUGGAGGAAGCUUCGCUUUGGUCAUGAAGAUUAAGUCUAGUUUAUUUGUUUUUCCGCUGCUUUUGUGAGUUUUAUUUUAUUAUUUUUGUAAGACGUGGAACUGUUUAUCAAAUUGUCGUUUGUGUACUAUGGCUGGUCCUGGAUAGAGAUUUAUUACAUAUUCUGCUUGAAAUUCGGGUUAGCGAAUUUCUGGACGUGACAAAAGGCCUGAAGGAAGAGGUUUGAGCUUAACCAGAGGUUGAGAAGGCGAAUUAGUUUUGGGUAACUCAAUCACCUCUCUAGGAUCGUCCUCCUCGACGAAUGCACUGGCAUCAUCUUCGAGGAGGGAUUCGGGGGACACAAAUGGAGAGAUAGCCAACAAUUCCUCAAUUGGCUCGAAAUCGGGAAUGGAUUGCAUCAAAGAAUUUUUUGAUCUCAAGAUCGGGACGGAAAACAUAAUUUCCCCGAGUUUGAUCUCAAGGACUCCAGUAUGCUACGCCUCAAGGAGAAGUUUAUCUAUGGUUUGGGCUAUGAGAAGAUCAAAGUCAGAGACAUCGAAAAAAUGGAAGUCUAGGAUAUCUUUGACAUAAUUGUGCCGGAUCGGCACACUGUGUAGAAUCCCAUAACCUUCGAUAAUAGGACUAGAUGAGCUCCGAAGGUUUUGUCUAUUGGUGCCAAUUGUUCAUCCCCUAAACAUUUUAUUGCAAAGGUAAUGUUUGCACCAACAGUGGGAUUAUAAAGAGUUCGCCCCAUGGCCUCUAUCGUGAGACAUGAAAUAGUUAAGGAUGGAGAGCUAAUCUGAAUUACUUCAGAAGAAAGCUUCAGCUCCCUUAACAACUCAUCACUUAUGAUGGUAGUUAAUUCAUGCACCGUCUCUUUGAGGAGAUUCUCCUCGAGUGGUGUGGUAGAACUAUGCGUUACCGGUGGUCUCUUUUGGCAGGAAUAGUUCGAGGUGUUUCCAUAAUCUUCAAAAGAUAACCCUUAAACUGGAAUGGAAAUUCUAAAGGCUGAAUUUCAUCUACCUUCGGUUCCCAAGGUUCAGGUGAGGAUUCAACGGGUGAAUCAUGGGAUGUGGAGGUUAUUUUCUCCAAUUCACCAUGUAGUUUUCUCACGGUAAGGGUGUACCAUUGCUUCGCCCCCUCUAUAAGAGAGAAGGGAAACAAUUUCCACUUUAAUGUUUCUUGUCUCAUGCCCACGAUUGUCAAGCAUGAGCACAAUUGCUAAAACUCAUGCAAAUGAUGUUAAGGAUUUUCGCUUUCAUGCCCCGAGAAGGAUUGUUCCCGAACCAUAUAUAUAAAGCUAACACAGAGUUUAUUGCCAGAUGAACGAAUUGGUUUUGAAGAAAAAAGUGACGCACAAAACUUGCCCUUUGGAGCAUAAAUGUUUUAAAUAAAUUGAUGCUCCAUGGAAGGUAAGAAUAGAAAUAAAUAAAUGAAAUGGAGAAGAUAUGAAGAUGAACCAAGUUCGAAGAUGAUACAUCAAUUGUUCCGUGACAAUGACGCCAGAAAUACAUGUUGGUAUUUGAUACGGUUAUAGAUAAAUCCACAAGCGUAUGAAUACUGCUGUAGCACUUCACCUAAGAGUAUCGAAGGGUAUCGAAUCACAGGGAAUGUGCGUUUAUAUCUAGGAACAGAAUUCUAUGCAAGGAUAAUAGCUAAUGGUAGGCUUAGGCUAUAGAGGACUCACUGGGAUAAUUUACUAAAGUUAAGUUAAAGGUAAAACCCUAUCAAUUGUCGCAGGCAUAGUCUCUCUCAUGGUCUACCAAGCUGAGUAUGGCUUGUAGUUCUAUGAUGUACCCAAAUGUGGAGGGAUACACAAGACGGACAGGGUUUUCACCACCUGUUGUCUACCUCACUUUCUAUGAAGCACACAAUAAACGAAGGUUACCGCUAACCUAGACACCACGCCUAAGUUAUUGAUUACUACACUAGCCUCGUCCUGACUUCCUUCGCUCGUUGCAAAACUGUCUUGGAAAUCGAAGAUACAGCUGAUGAAUCUCCAACCAUCAAAUAAGAGCAUUCAAACUCUAUAUCCCAAGAUUCGACUGUUGAGUCCUCACCCAAAUCACGGGAACCGAAGGAAGAAGAAAUUUAGCCUUCAGAAUUCUCCUUCCAGUUUGUGGGUGAUCAUUUUGAAGAUUAUUGAAACACCUCAAACUAUUAUGCUCAAAAGAGACCACCAGUCCCACGUAGUUAGCAUGAAGCUCUCGAGGAAAAUUUCCUCAAAAAGACAGUGCAUGAACUAACUACCGUCAUGAGCGAUUAGUGGUUAAGGGAGGAGGAGCUCUGUUCUGAUGCAAUUCGGAUUAGCUCCCUGUCCUUAGCCAUUCCUUGUCUCGUGAAAGAGGCCUUGGUGAAAACUCUUUGCAAUCCCACUGUCAUUGCAAGCAUUAUGUUUGCAACCUUCGCACUAAUGUGCUUAGGGGAGAACCAUAAGGACCACAGAUAAAACCUUUUGGGGUCUGUCUGGUCCUGCCAUUGAAGGGUAUCGAAUUAUUAGCAGAGUGCCAAUCAGGCACAAUGAUGUCGAGAUCAUCCUAGACUUCCACGUGUUCGAACUUCAUGACUUCGACCUCCACAUAGACCAUCUCAUAGAAAAGAUCUACUUAGACGAGCCUCGAACCAGAGUCCUCGACAUCAAACUCGGGAAUCUGACGUUUUCUUUCAUGAUCUCACAAUUGAAAAACUCUUUGGAACCUAUUCCCGAGUCCGGGCUAAUUGAGGAAGUGUUGGUUGUCUCUUCAUUUGAGUCCCUUGGAUACCUCCUUGAAGACAAUGCCAUUGCAUUUGUCAAGGAAGAUGACAAUCCUGAAGAGGUGAUUGAGUUACCCAAAACCGAUCCACCUUCACAACAUCUUGUUGAGCUCAAACCCUUGCCUUCAGACCUAAGCUAUGCUUUUCUACAUGAUGACACGGGGUCGCCCUUGAUCAUAAGUGACAAACUGACUGAUGACGAGACCUCCCAACUCAUAGCAUAGGUAGAAAAGCAUCGCUCUAUUCUAGGCUACUUGCUUCCUGAUCACGAAGGGAUUAGUCUGGCUCUCUGCACACAUCACAUUCCUUUAGAUCCUUCUUGUGUGCACUCUCAAGAGUCGUGAAGAAAGAGAUCUCGAAACUUCUACACACCAGGAUAAUCUAUCUAGUCCCGUGUAGUAAGUGGGUAAGCCCAGUUCAGGUUGUGCCUAAGAAAGGAGGCAUGACGGUCGUUGAAAACUCUAAAAAUGAGUUAAUGCCACAACAAACCAUCACGGGAUGGAGAAUAUGCAUAGACUACAAGAAGCUCAACAAGGCUACUAAGAAUGAUCAUUUCUCGUUGCCCUUCAAUGAUAAAAUGCUAGAGCGGCUGGCGAACCACUCAUUCUUCUGUUUCCUUGAUGGCUAUUCUGGCUAUCACAAAAUUCCCAUCCAUCUAGAUGAUCAAACAAGACAAUGUUCACGUGUCCGUACGGACCGUACGCUUAUCGACAGAUGUUGUCCGGUAGCGCAACGCAUCUGCGUCAUUCCAACGGUGCAUGAUGUCCAACUUUUCCAACAUGAUCCAAGAAAUCAUGGAAUUUUUCGUGGACGAUUUCUCCGAGAGGGUCGUAGAGAUGGACAAGGCUAAAAGUCAGGUAAUCUAACAGCUUCCACCUCCUACCAAUGUUAAGGGAGUGUGUAGUUUUCUGGAUCAUGUGGGGUUUUAUCGUCGGUUUAUUAAAGAUUUCUCUUUAGUAGCUAGACCCGUCAUCAGUUUGCUAGUUAAGGAUGCUCCUUUUAACUUUGAUGAUGAGUGUAUAAAAUCUUUGAAUAUCCUAAGAGAAGCACUCAUAUCAGCACCAAUCAUUUAACCUCCUGAAUGGUCGCUUUCGUUUGAAAUCAUGUUCAAUGCUAAUGAUUAUGCUGUAGGGUCCGUUCUCGGUCAAACGAAAGAAAAGAAACACCAUGCUAUCGCAUAUGCUUGUAAAACGUUGGCAUGAGCUCACCUUAAUUAUGCCACAACUAAAAAAGAGCUCAUGGCUGUACCUUUUGCAAUUGACAAAUUCACAUCUUACUUAAUUGGAGCUAAGGUAAUAGUCUAUACUGAUCAUGCUGCCUCGAAAUACAUGCUCACUAAGAAAGAUGCAAAACUUCCUACACCAAGAAUUUGAUCUUGAAAUCUAUAGAUAAAAAUGGAGUAGAAAAUUUCGUAACAGAUUAUUUGUCGCGUAUGCAAAUCACUAACAUGCAUGAGCUAUCGAUAAAUGAUUUUUUGCGGGAUGAUAUGCUGCUGAAGGUAACAGACUUGAACCCCUGCUAAGCGAACAUCGUGAAUUUCAUGGUUACAGGAUAUGUGCCACCUAGGGAGAACAAGCAAAAGCUCAUCUAUGAAAGCAGAAGGCAUAUGCCUGAUGAGCCAUAUCUAUAUCGAGUCUGCUCAGAUGGUCUACUCAAACAAUGUGUACCAAUAGUCGAAGGCAUACAUAUCAUUGAGAAAUGCCACACGGCACCAUAUGGAGGACACUAUGGUGCAUUCCGCACUCAGGCAAAGAUGUAGCAGAGUGGAUUCUUUAGGCCUACAAUGUAUGAAGAUAGAAAAGAAUUCAUUCGGAGAUGUGCAAGGUGCCAAAAGCAUGGAGGUAUCACCGCUCGCAAUGUGAUGCCCAUGUCAAAUAACCUACAAGUGGAACUCUUUGAUGUAUGGGGUAUCGACUACAUGGGACCCUUUCCAAAGUCCUAUGACUGUGUGUACAUUCUAGUGGCCGUUAACUAUGUAUCCAAAUCAGUGGAAGAAAUGUCAUGUUAUGCUGCGGACGCCAAGCAUGCCUGCAAGAUGUUCCACAAGGUCAUCUUCCUUCGGUUUGGAACACCGUGGAUGCUAGUAAGUGACAAAGGGUCUCAUUUCACUGAUAAGACCUUCUGAAACUUUUUACAAGAUCUUGAGGCACAACACAACAUUGCCACUCCAUACCAUCCCUAAAUAAGUGGUCAAGCAAAAACAUUCAACAAACAAAUCAAGAAUAUUCUGCAGAAGACCGUGAAUGAAAUGUGGGAAAGCAUGGAAGCAAAAGCUAUACGAUGCACUUCGAGCAUAUAGGAUCGCAUACAAGACGCCCAUCGGCAUGUCACCUUUCCAUCUCGUCUACGGAAAGACGUACCAUCUACCUGUUGAGAUGGAACACAUGGCACACUGGGUUAUCUGGACAUGGAACAUGGAUCUAGGACAAGCCGGACAUCACAGACAACUGUAGAUUUUAGAGCUAGAGGAGUGCAAAGAUAAAGCUUAUCAUAAUGCCAAGAUGUACAAGGAAAGAAUAAAAGAUGGCAUUAUAAGAGGAUCAAGGCAAAGGAGUUUGUAGCAGGAGACAAGGUGUUCUUACUCAACUCCCGGGUGAAGCUCUUUGAACACGGAAAACUUCGGAGCAAAUGGCUAGGACCGUACACCGUCAUCGACACUUCAUUUCAUGGGGCAGUCACGCUUCAGGAUGAUGAAAGUAACAUCUUUAAGGCAUAUGGUCAUCGCUUAAAAAUUUUCCUAGAACCGAUAGAGGGGUUAGGGCAGGAUCUAGACUUAGUUGAGUUGGUCGAUUUUGGUGCAAAUCCUAGGAUCGAAACCCAAGCCUAACGGGAUAGACAUCUAGCCUAUUUGCCUACCUGAGCCAGCUGAGAUAGGACCCAAGGGGUGUUGGUGGUUGUUAAAUGUCAUUUUUAGGCCGCCAAUAUAUCGUAGGCUCUCUGGACCUUCCAUUAUAUUUGAGAGAUGAAAUAAAUAAUUCAAGUCAUCAAACAUGCAUAAUGAAAUAUCUGACGCCUCGAGAGAGGAAUAUUAGAGACAUUGCUGGGCCUUUAGCCUGCCAGUCAACUUCAGCCUAAGAUGUGCCCGUCAAACCACUCGAAAGCGGUGACCAGAUGUGUUACACAUUCAAGAGACUUGACAAAAAUGGCUAAAGAUCUGCAACAUCUCAAAUAUUCUUAACUGAUACUCAUGUGAAUCUAGUUCCCAAGAUGUGCACUAGAUUCACACUUUCAUCUUAAGCAUGAAUAUACAUAGCAAGAUACAUCUAAAGCAAAUAAAAUUUAGAUUACAACUACCAAAUAGAUACAUAGGCCGACCGGCCAAAUAUAGCUAUAUCAGUGAACAGCGGAAGCUUGACUACCCAAUCCUCAGGCACAUCGACUCAGGGUUUACCCCAUUAAGUUCAAAUCCUAGAAGAAGCAGUCGAAACCCGCAUCACUCAAAUCUAACUAAGCCUAUUCCUGCAAAACAUAAAUUAAACAACAUAUGGCAAGACUCAGUACAUUAAUCAAAUUAAUAUACUGGCAAGAGCACUAUCAAACAUACAUACAUGAAAGCUCUAAGUCAAAGGAAGGCUAUUUGAAGUCUCAAUUUUAAGCAUAAAGCAAAUUUUAGUUCACAAACCAUUUGCAACAUAAUUUAAGCAAAACAUUUUAGCAAUAUGUAAAGCAUAUUAAUCAUGGCAUGAUAUCAACAUAAAUAGAUAGACAUCAUUCCCUUACAACACAACGGGAAGUAAGGAAAUCACAUCGCAUAUACCUAUCUCAUCAUCGUCUCAAAUCAUUUAGUUUCAAAAACAUUUAGAAAGCACAAAAUUAUACCCAUAGCACAUCAUCAUGUCGCUCAUGACCGUGAGCACGGCUAAUCGAUUAGUUUUUAGAACUCUGCAGAGUUUGUACAGCUUUACCCACAUAAUAUGAACUCUCUAGUUUGUUUUGAGUUUGCAAGACUCCACCACACUCUUCAUGUUGAAUUACACUACUUAGAAUCUAGUCUUGCACCAGCACGAUACGUGUUCCUCCAUCCUAGGCAUACUUGGAAAUAUGUCUAGAACCGUUAAGUGGCAGGCCCACGCCUUAAACUUAACGCCGUGGUGGCGGACACGACGGGAACCCACCACGUGGCAAAAUACCGUUGUAUUGGACACGCUUAGUCACCUAAACUACCACGUCGGGGUAAAUAGGAAACUCCUCUGAAUCAUCGACUAAUCCCUCAGAAUUAUCGACUAAGGGUGUGUUUGGUUGGGCUGUAGCCUUUAGAAAAGCUGUUGUGGGCUUUAGCUUUUGUAAAAGUAGCUUUGGAAAAGCAGCUAUGAGGAAGUCAAAAGCCCGUUUGGUUGAUCAGCUGUGGCUUUUGGAAAGACCUCUCGCACUUACGAGUGGACCCUGCCUAUCAGUCUCACUGCAUUCAUCUUCUUCAUCAAGAGAUUCGCGUUGGGGCUCGCUGCCGGCGGCGAGACGAGAGGAGGAGCAGGGAUGGCGGUGGCGGCUUGUCGAGGACGAGCGGCAGCGGCGGCAUCUCGGCGAGGAGCGGCGGCGGCUCAAAGGCUGUGGUCUCGACGGCGCCGGCGUCAGGAGGGGUUGGAGGCGGCACAGCGUCGGGCGGGGAGGAGACGGUGCGGCGUCGGCGUCUGGAGGAGGCGCGCUAGCGUUGGACGGGUCGAAGGCGACGCUACAGUUAGGAGGGGUCAGAGGGGUCAGAUAGGGAGGACGCGGCAUGGCGUCGGGAGGGCUAUAUAUAGGCGCAGAGGAAUACCCGUACUGAGCUGUCACCAUCAGUGGCCCACCUCUCAUCCGCAAUAUAUAACCUCAAAUAAUGAUAUCCCGUAAUCUAGACACCACGUCUAAACUACCAGAUACUACUCUAAUAUCAUCGUCAUGACAUAGAGUAAUUGCAUAAGCAAACACUAUACUCGCAUCAAAGCAUCUCCCAGAUAAGCUAGCAGUAUAUUCAGUAUAACAUGAACAUAAUGUAAAGAAGGUACUCAUAUACUCGGAAAGUAUUCCAAUACCAAAAAUGUAUUUAGAAGAGUAUUCUAAUAAAAGUACAAAGCUUACAAAAGAGGAAAGGAAAGCUACUAGAGCCAUACCCGAACUCUUCCGAAGGCUUCCGGACUCCUAAUUCCUAUUCUAAUUCUAUUCCACCAGCUAGAUACUACUAAACUAAACUUGAGAGGAAUGAGAGAGCUCUUGCUUGUGGUGUGUGUUGAAGUGAAGAGAGUGAGCUCCUUGUAUACAGGUAGGUAUGACGGUUGUGGAAGGGGAAUUGUCCGAAGUACCCUCCAACCGUCAUUGGGGUGCAAUCUUGGACGUCCAUGCCAAACCCUGGCCUCAACGGUGGAGAUGGGGGUUCGGCCGAACCCCCUAGUUCGACCGAACCAUGGGCUGGCCCAAACCAGCCUAUCUUCGGCUGGUGACUUCCUCUAUUGCUCCACUCCACAGACUUGUGAAUUUUGGCCCAAUUCAUUGUGUCAAUUCUGAGUUCUUGGCCCAUUCAUACAUAAGUCUGGUUUUCGACAAUGUCCAAUUGAUUUAUCAUUUGUGUUGAUGUCGAUUCUCCUCCACUUUAUUGUCAUUCUCUGCAAAAGGUUAGUACACCCAAUACUAGUGGAAUAUUAUUAUUCUAACAAACAUAUGCAUUGCAAGCAUCACUAGUUCUCUCCUGUUUUAGUAAUAUUGAUGGUCAAAACUGAUCGAUAACGACCGUCAACAAAACCCCCCAAGCUUGAACCUUUGCUCAUCCCGAGUGAAGGACAAAAGGAAACAAAGACUUGGUUGUUGAUCAGGAGUUGCUACUAUGCUGCAUAUCUCAAAAAUACAAGUGCAAGGUAUAUGUACUCUCUCUUAGAUUAAAUAAUCUUUGGCACGGUGGCUUACCCUUACCCCUGAUUCCCACGAGACACUGCUUUUCCUUGCCUUGGGCAGUUGAAAGACAGAACAACAAUUAGAGCACCAAUCACCCAAUCUUUAUUCAACUCUUAUUCUGGAAGUUUUCAAAUGAUUUUGAAAAAGAAAACCAAGCUCCUCAAUUGAUUCACUCAGUCUCUCUAAGUGUAUCAAUUUGAAUUCCUCACCAAAUGAUGCCUUUUUGAUUCCUACUCUAAGUUUUAUAUGUGGAGCUCGGUAAGGAUCAGACAUGGCAUACUUGCAUUCACAUCUGUUACUAAGUCAAAAACUUGGACUAAAGCAGAUAACUUAACAUACUCAAGAUCAAGAUCGUGCAUAAUGUGUGUGGUAUAUAGUGGAAAUGGUGUAUGAGGAAUAAAAGAAAAAUGCUUCUCCUUUGUGCUUACUUUCUUCUCCCAAAAAAUCCUUCUUUUAUUGAUUAGGAGAGGGCAUGGCUACAUUUCUCUCUUCUUCUUUUUUUCAACAUCAUGCUCAUGCUUGAUGGAGCAUAGCUUUAUUUUUUUUUCACAACCAUGCCUUUCUCUCCUUUCUCUUUUUUUUUUCUUUUUUUCAAAAGGAUUUUUCUUUUCAGGAGAAGAAAGCACAUGAAAGCAUGGAGAAUUUAUUUUGGUGGUAAUAUGGAUAUGGAAUGGAAUAUUGCUUAGCUCCUAGUGUAGGAGUUUAGCAUGUGCAUAAAAGUGGGUGUAUGAUCUUGAUCAUAGAGCAUGAGAAGUAUGUACACAAGUCACAAGAGUUUGACAAAGUUCAAUGGAACGACAAGUAACCAAAAUGUAUAUGGUUUAAUUAUGACAGCAUAUUUUUGGCUCUGGUAGGAAUUUAUAUCAAAUUAGGAACUUUCAAUUUAUCAUUUUGAAAAUCAAAACAUUCGGAAUUCAAGCCAAACUAGUAUCAGGAUCAUAGCAACUCAAUUUACUAUCUCAUAUCUCGCAACAGCUUAGACUUAGAUCAGCAAGUGCAGCCCAUUUACCUCAGUUUCCCAGAUAAUUGUUGGCUACUCAUAUUUAACCUUUGAGAGAGUAUUUACCAAGAACCCAUAUAUCAGAGAUAUAAAACAGAGCAACUAUUCAUCAUUUCAACAAAGAGAACUAGCUUGUCUUACCUAGCAUGACUCAAACCUAUCAUAUCUUUUUGGUAUUUUCUAUUUUGCAAAUUUUUAUAUUGUUUUUAUUUUUUAUAGGAUGCAAUUGGAAAACAAAUAUGCAAUUGGAAAGGGAAAUAUGCAAUGUGAUACAAGUUACCUCAGUGGGGGGAGUGAAGUCUCCCCCCAAGCCUGGCUUUCGCUUAGGGUCCUUGAUAAGGAUUGAACCCCUAAAAACGAAAGUACGCCUGAAGGUCAUCAUGCUGUUGUUGCAUCAUGUUGUUGAUGUUGGGGAAUUGAGCAUCAGCAGAUUGUUGCCAUUCUUGCGUUUGAGCUGUGUGUUCCGUGAGGUUGUACUGGAUCUCCCCCGUCUGCAUAUCAAGGGUGUCCAUCCUCCUAGUGAUUUCACCCAAGUCCCAACGAGAGGAACUCGAGCGCCAUUCACUUGGAGAUGGAGGCACACCACUUGAUCUAGGAGGUUGAUUGUCCCUCCCAGUGGAUGUCAUGAGGCGCAUGCCACCGGUCCUCACUGGCGCUUGACCAGGUUGAGACUCCGAUGUUAUGGCGUGGAGCUUGGGUCCUUCCGGGUGCAUCCCUAGUUGGUGCCCAACCUGCCUCGUAUAUCUGCACGGGUGUCGAGGAUGAUGAACUUUCUUGUUCGUUCCUUGUCAUGUUGCGCGUCUCCCUGUAUGUUCCACCUGCAUGAGAUUCUUCUAUGAUCUGCAGGGAAAUGGUUAGUUCAUGGCAGUUAUACAAAUGAUACCCCGCAUUUGGCAACAAGAUUUCAUUUAUACAACCGGGGAAAAAGUAUAUCAAAGAUCCAUCUGCUCCAUGUUUCAAAAUAUGCCCUUGCACUAGAUAAGCCUUAUCAAUACGCGGACGAGCAGCUGAGAUAAAAGCAAUUUGGUUGCUAACGACUCCUAGCCCUUUUGCUAACCGAGUAAUCAGAGAAGUGCACUCAACAAGAGCAGAGAACUUUAUACUUUCUAACCAUUGUCUUAUCAUACAUUUCACAGGAGAAAUUUUGAUCUUUCUAACCAUGGCAAACAUGAUAAUUAGUUCAUCUCUCCUAAUGGGUCUCAGAUCACUUCUAGGAAACAAAGUCAAAGCAAUCCAUUUGUGCAUGAGCCUAAGUGUAGGAUUAUGGAUAUCAUUCGUUCUAGAUUUCUUGCAAAUUGGAGCACCAGAAAUAUCUUCCCAAAACCUAUUUUUCUCGAACCUAGAAAUUCCUUUCUAGAGAUCGAUUUUACAGGAAUUGUGAAAACCAAGAAGUGUACUCAAGAAUUUCCAUGUGAGUGUGAACUCCUUACGGAAAAAGCGAAAAGAAAUACCAUCUUCUAUUUUUUUCAAAGUGCAUAGAAAUUACAAAGUAAGCAAACGAGAACCAGGCUCAUCUACCAUAGCAAAUCUCUGCCAACCAACAGCUUUCCAAAUAGAACGAAAUUUAACAUCCAUACCUAUCUUUUUCAGCAAUUCCGGUGAGUAUUCUCGUGUGUGAGCAUACUCCCGGUCGCUCAGCAUGUAGUAGGCUUGUCUCUCCCGAUCACUGACAAGGUCGAGGUCAGCGUCGCUCAGGAGUUGUCGCGGAGCGUCGGCGUCUUCCAUCGAGGCAUCGGCUGAUGAACGAGUACUAGACUCGUCAUGACGACUUGAUGGAGAGCCCGACCCCUUGAACAGAUGAGACAGUCGCCUCCUCAUACUGCAAAAUGGAGCAAGAAUAGGCUAACUCGGCGGGGGUUAGAAAUGACAAGAGUUUCACCCGCUGGUUAGUUUCACCAAAGCAACUUGUAUGUAUGCAACUAAAGAUUUGAACUUGAGGAAAACUAUCAAAGCAUGAAUGAACUUGGGAGCAAACUUUGGAGAGGGAAUGAAAAUGAGUUGAAAUGGGGUGGAAUUCCCUCUCUCGGCCGGCUGGCUUUUAUAGGGUACCCACUAGCCGUUGCCUCAAAAAGUGAGGCAGCCAACCAUUGCCUGGCCGGUUCGGCCGAACCAGGGUGUUCGCCCGAACCCCUGGUGGGCCCAACUGGACCCACUUUCGGCCGUUGGAAUCCAACGGUCAGUGUGGGCGUGGCACUGUGAAUUUUCGUUGAAAAUUUAAUUUUGGUUUGUUCUGAAAAAUUCAUUUGAAGAAUUUCCUCGAAAUUCAAAAGUCCUAAAUGCAAUUUUGAAAUUCAAAUAUAUGAUGAUGCAAAAAUUCAAAUUGUUGAAAGAAAAUAUGCGGAUACAUACCAAUUUAUCUGUUGGCAAAGGUUGCGUCAUCUAAAGUCCAACGUGCAAGACCGUGCCUCCUUCUGAUUCAGUGCGCGGAUUUUCCACCCGUCUCCGGAGGUGAUGGAGCGGGCGUCUUUGGCUUCUUCCUCCACACCUUCUUUGAUUUUGGUGCAGAAGACGGCUUCUUCUGAGCCGGCUGCUCUGACUUCUUGGCCGGUGCAGGUGAUUUUACCGGCGUCCUCCAAUAACGGUUCUUGGGCAUUGUUGUUUCCUUUUCCAGGAAGUUCUGCAUAAACCUUACCAGGCUAUCCGUCUUGGGUGGCUCCACUUCGACCUCUUGAAUGUUCUGCGGGUUUGGCCCGUACUUGAUUCUGACCAUGGAGCCUCCUUCCCGUUGAUAUGGAAACGGAUACUCCCCGUUCCCACGUCAAUGUUGGCUCCUGCGGUGCUAAGGAACGGACUGCCUAGGAUGAGCGGCGUCUCCUUCCUCGUGUCCAUGUCCAGCACCACGAAAUCAAACGCGAUGAAGAAAUCCCGUAUCUUGACUGGCACAUCCUCCACUAUCCCCACCGGGUAACGGACUGACGAGUCAGCCAGUUGGAGGCGCAUCGGUGUUGGUGCCAACACCGUGAAGUUGAGCUUGUCAAAGACAUCUUUUGACAUGACGCUGACGCUGGCUCCAUGGUCGCACAAAGGCCUGGUCGAAUUGUUGUGCCCCGAUCGAGUAGUUGAUCGUAGGACACCCCGGAUCUUUCUUCUUCUCCGAGAGCUUGUGGAGUAUUAGGUUGCUGCAGUGUUUUGUCAGCUUGACCACCUCCGUUGUUGGGAGCGGUCUCUUGUUGUUGAGUAUGUCCUUGAGAUAACGGGCAUAUGUCGGCACUUGCAUAGCGUCCAACAACGGCACGUUAAUGUGGAUCUUUUGGAUCACUUCAACAAAGCACGCCCAUGUACAUCGCCUCCUCACGGGUUUCCGGGCAGUCGUUCCCAGAAUGACCUGUGACGCCGCAGACUUCACACUUGAUGUGAGAGUCCAAGGCCUUGACGGUGCCUUGUGGCCGUUUCUUGUGGUCGUCCAAUCGUUUCAUGAGGAGGUCCAGCUUGGCAGCAAGUAACUCCGUCUCCUUGACGGUGUGCAUGCCUCGCUGACGGGUCUGGAGUCAUUCCUCGCUCUAACCCAUAUUGGAGACCAUCUUCUCCAUGAGUUCAACGGCUCCUUGAACCGUUUUAGAGAAGAAGGCUCCUCUAGCUGCCGCGUCCAGGUGAUCGCGGGACAUCGGGGUGAGCCCAUUGUAGAAGUUCUGCAGGAUCAGCCAGUCGUCCAUCCCAUGAUGAGGACAGGCGGCCACGUACUCCUGCAGUCGUUCCCAUGCUUCUGGAAUGGACUCGUCCCUUGUCUGCUGGAAACUGGAAAUUCGUCCACGAAGGGCGUUGGUUUUGCCCAUCGAGAACAACUUCUAGAGGAAUGCCGUAGAGCAUUUAUCCCAAGUGUUGAGUCUUGCUGGCCGUAGAGCCGUAGAGCAGCACGGUUGGCAUAGAAACAUUGCUUCGCUCUCCCGAGGAGGGAGAAUGGAAACAGCCGCAGCCUAACGGCGUCAGGACUGACUCCCUUGAUGGUGUACAUACUGCAUAUCUCUAGGAAUUGCUGCAGAUGAGGUUGGCAUCCUCAUUAGGCUUGCCACAGAACGGGCUAUCCUGCGCCAUCGUGAUGAGUCUAGACUUCAAGUCGAAAUCCACAUCUCCUAUGUUGACUUGUGGCCCGACGGCCACAUUGUCAGCACAGGGAGCAGCGAACUCACGAAGAGUCUUGCUGGCCAUAAUCUUGAAGGUCGGUGGCGCUGGUACUGUAACAUCCUGAAGUUUUAAUUAAUCAACUUAAGUGGAAAUCAGGAUUUGUCCUUAGUAAAAGUUGGAAGUUUUAAAGCUAUUUGGGUUCAAAACCUCAUCCGGUUAAUUUGUGUAUAAAAAAAGAUGGGUAGAAAUUGAAACCAUUUUUCCAAACUGUUGGUUUGAGUUAAUAUGAAACUUUAGUGAUCAUUAUAGGUAGGCUAAUGACCCUACAACCUUUUGGUAGAUAAACAAAAACUAUUUUUUUUAGAGACUCGUCCAACAUUCAGAGAGUGUUUUGGCGCUAAUAAAAUAUACAACACUUUCGAGGAGUAGCUCGACUAAUUUGUGUUCCCUUCCACGAGGGGAACAUUGUUUCAAGAGACCAAGCUGACUCAAUGCUUGAUAAUCCAUGAAGCUCUGGUUUUUGUUGUCUUCUACUUUUUAGCUUCUAAGCUUUGUCUAAGCCUCUUUGUAUAUAACCAAAUUAAAUGGUCAAGCGGUAGUUAAGAAACGUUGUAGUAUAGUCGUUAAUCUUUCGCUCUUUGGAUAAUCUACCCAAUCAUGCUUAGCAAUUGGCUAGUAGAAUUAGUAACUAGUGAUUGUGUGCUUGUGUACUUGUUGUAGUGAUUUUUAUGUUGUUCAUAAUUGGUUGAUACAUGUUAAAUAAACCUAGAGGCUAUGUAACAAAUCUAAGCAACAUAAAAUCCAUGAAGAUCCUCUUGUCACUCGGUCAACCUAAGUUAACCACUAUGAAGGUUUCGUGAUUUUAUCAAACUUUUUACUACCUCAAGUAAAGCAGUCAAGGUAGUCAAACUAAAUUAAUUAGAAACCUAAUUGGCAAAAUGAAGCAACUUCUAUUUGAACAAUAACUUGAACAGAAGUGUAAAUUUAUAAUAAUUUAUUCAAAUACUAGUUUAUUUAUCACCAACAAAUAUAAAUUUUGUGGAAUUUUUACUCUCUGUUUUGGCCUUCUAAAAAUUCAAACCAACUUUCAGCCUAACCAAUUUCAUCUUUUCACCAGAAUUAAAAUAUUUCGAAUUUUUUAGUGAAACUUUGAAAAAUGAAAACUAGGUGUCUAGGUCUAUCUCCACACAAAAGGAUAAAAUUCUAUCACUAUUAUUUCUUGAGCUAACUGAGUGUCAUGGUGGAAGAGGUGUAAAAUUGCUGAAAAUUCCUGAAAUCUACCCAAAUUCUUGUUCCACCUCUAUUCCCGUCCUUACCUCUUAGACCACCACGACUUGGGCCCACUUGUCACAGACCUUGGGUGCCUCUUUAUCCCAGAACCCACCCUUGGGUGUUCACCCCACCUCAGGACAUAAGGUGGGCAGAGAAAAAAACCCCUUCUUCCUCCCCUUUCCCUUCCCUUGCUUGUUCUUUGUUUUCCUCCUCAAGCUGAGCUCCCAGCUCACUUCUCCUCCCCAAAUCCUAUCUAAGAACCCAAACUCAAGCUCUGUAUGUUAGACCACAAUAAUCCCCAUCAUCCAAGCUUUCCAUCCAUCCCAACAUCUUGCACAUGCAUGAAGAGUUGAGAGAGAUCAAGAAGGAAUAAAAUAGUGGUGGUUUCAGCCUGCAGGGCUACAGCAGCAGCAUUUUGUUUUCCUCCAUUUGGUGAGCUUCCUUUUCAUCCAUGGUGCCUCUUUUGAAUUCCCUCCAUGUUGAACAUCUAUAGCAACGUUCUAUAGGUUGUCCACUCCAUUGCUGCAGGUAGAAGGUGGCUACAACUCACCCCGAGUUCAUCUCUUUUGAUUUCGGUUGAAGCAGCCCUAGGCAACGUCUCUUGCCGUCAGCCCAAGACCUUGCUCCAUCUCUUGCCAUUAGCCCGAGGCCUUAGCCUCGCAUGACCCUACGUCCAGGUUGCUGCGAUGUGAGCGAAGUCCGGUGGAAGUUGGAGAAAAGGGGAGUGAAAAUAGAAAUCGAUUUCUGAGAUAGCUUUUGAGCUGAAAGAGGUAUGCGCUUUAAAAAUUCAUAACUAAUUCAUAUGAACUCCGAAUUCAGUUAACCAAAUUUCUGUGGAUUAAGAAAAACAUGACCUUCAAUGCUGUAAAAUAAAAAUGACCAACUUUUGUACUGGUUUUCCCAGUAAAAAUAUAAAUAGCUAUAUGUAUCCCUUGUGUGGUCUAGCUCUUAAUAAAUUCGUAAGAAAUUAUUGGUAAAAGCUAAAAUUGUGAAACCAAUUUUGUUGAGCUUAUAUUUUAGUACUCUUUGCUGUUGUGGUGUUGUUUUUGGAAAAACUACCUCUUAAAACAUCUUUAGGAGUUUGUUUAGCAUUCCUAUGUUUUUAACUUGUAAAAUCCAUAAAUUAAUAAUGACAACACAUAUAGCUGUGAAAUAAUUUUUCUUAGGAGCUGUGAGUGAUGUACUUUACUCUAAAAAUAAUCAUUAUUAUGAAAUCUUGGUUUGAAAUGCAUUUUACUUGUAAUGUACUAAAGGAAACGUUAAUAUCUACAGAACUACCAUUUUCAGCACCUGAGAGAUUGUCAUUUUCAUAUCUCCCAAACUAUAAGUGAUAAUCUGGUGAUUAUUUCAACUAAAUUCAAGUUAAAAUAUGAUCUACCCACUGUAUUUAUUUCAUAAUUUAUUGAUCAUUUUUCUUGUGCAUGUUUAUUUGGCUCUUAUUCGCAUAUUGCUUCUUUUCGAUAGAUUCGGAGAUUCCGGAGAGUAACGAGCCAUAUCCCGAGGAGGAUAGUGACUAUCCUCAGCAGCAAGGCAAGCACCUAAGCAUAUAGAACCUAUGCUUUCUCUAAAAAUGAUUUGGUUGCAAUCUAUACGUAUAUAUAUGCAUGCAUUGCCUAGAUAUUAAUAUCGUCGGUUUAUGGUGUAUGGGAAGAACCUAUUUAUGCAUUUAGUUCUUGUAAUAUUGCUGUCCUUAUACCCUAUUACCACUAGUUGGGAUUAAUUGGGAUGUCUUAUUCAUUAAUGCUUAGCCAUGCUUAGUGCUAAUAGAACUAUAGGGAUGGACAGUGCUAUUAAUUGUGGUAUAUAGACAACUUGCAUUAUUGGGCAUAAAACUUGAGCACUUACACUAAAUAAUGGUUAAUGAAUUAUGUUGGACUUGGACGGGUGAUAGGGCGAUGAUGGGAGGUUGGUUUCCCCUGAUACAAGUAGCCCCGUCUAGGUCGCUAAGGACCGAACAUUUUGACAUCUAAUCAAGCACCCUACGUACUUACCACAUGCCUUAUUUGGGACCGGCUUGUUCUUACUAGUUCUACUGUGAUCAUUUAUACCACAUUGGAGAGUCGUGAGGCAGGUAGCCUUUGGAGGGCCUCGGGUGCCUAGGUUUGGCCGGGGGUGCCUCCCGCGUGGCGCGCCCGCCUUGGUCACAUCACGCACACACGUGACUGAGUCGUUGGGAACCCCAACGUGGUAUAGGUGGUUAGGGUGGGGCUAAAGAAGGGCAUGUAAUGAGCUUGAAUCACUUGUGUACCGCACUUGACGGGGUGCGUAGCAUUUGAACUUUGUUCAUUUCGUGUGGGUCCAGUUGGACACCUCUGAUCAGAGUAUAAUCUAUUCGAAUAGCCGCGUCCUCGGUUAUGGACAUUGCUUGAUGUGUAUCUCACUCAUGUUAGCAUCAAAUGUGGAUUAUUAUGGAUGGGAUUAUGUUUGAUGGUGGUGUUGGCAUGUUGUGCCAUGUUGGUAUGGACUUUGGUAGUCCAUGGUUGAUGAUGAGAGUGCCGUUUGGGCUCAUUUGCUUAUACAUUUCAGAAUUAUAUACUUGCUGUCCAUAAAUUAAAAUGAUGCUAGAUUUACUUGUCCUUGCUUAUUUUACUCAUUAAUUGCUCAAUAAAAUUAGCUUUAUGCAAAUGUUGAACCUAGAGACCCACUAUAGGCUAGAAAGCUUGCAUACUUCUCUCCCUUUUGUAUAUAUAAUUUUGGGUAAGACUUGCGAGUAUAAUCUUGUACUUAAUCUGGUGUCUGCAAUUUCAGGAGAGGAUUCCGAUUAUGAGUUAUGCUUCUUGUGUGGUCAUUGCUCUGCCGAAGGCGGCGAGGGCAAUGAGUGAUAUCUUGCAGCUUGGCUCUUGCCUGGUUGGUUGCCCUAGUGGGGUUUGGCACCACCAGUUUUAUCUUUUGCUUAUGAACUCUAUUUGAGACUUCCACUGCUAUAUUUAUGUGUUGUAUAUUGGGACCUCGGACCCUAUUAUGUGUCAUGUACCUCGCUGCACUUUAACCCUAUUAUGGUACUUGCUAUGUUUAUUAAUUGCUUGCGAUGAAAGUGUGAGGCUAAUCGUAUUCCUGGGGACUAGCUAAGCAUGAGUAACGGGUUUUGAUCGCUUGAGAUAAUCGGGGAUAGCGCUUUGGAUCGAGUCACUAGGGUAUGCUUUUGGUCGCCACCUUCGAGUGGUUGAUGGGCAUAUGACGGUGCGGACUGGCAAGCUAUCUUACGGUUAUGUCUUGCGCUCACUACUCGACAUUCCGGUUAUUAUAACAGAAGGUUAUCAACCGCGAUCAUGGACACAUUGAGGAUGAGUGGCUAUUUAUGCGUGUAUGGAUCCCACGUCUCCAAUAGUAUGUGGUGGUCGUGUUGGACACUGGAUGGUAUAAUACUCGGGGUGUCCACAGGUACGGCUGGUUUCUCUAUCGGUAGAGUUUUCUGUGGAGCAACGACUCGCGGCCUGACGCUCCGGAAGAAAGCUUCUGGAUUUUCUUUGAAGUUUUCCGGCAGGUUGAAACCAGUCAUGCACUACCCUGUUUUCACAAGAGUGAAAACAACCAAGGUUAGCCUGCAAAGGAAAAUGAUUAUACAGAGGUAAAUAUAAAGUAUUAGUUCAAUUAAUCUCUAUCAUGAAUCUUCCCCGGCAACAGCGCCAGAAAUGUUUGUUGGUAUUUCUUAACAAUAUUACUAGAAAUACUUCUGGUAUAUUAUGAUUACAAAGUUCAUCCGCAAACAUACGGAUAUACUAUUGUAGCAUUUCACCCGAGAGUAUUCCAAGGGUAUCGUAUUUAUUUUAUCCCGUGGGAAGAUCAUGUAGAGAGAACUCAACUAAUAACUUAUAUAUUACUUGUGAUAAUCAUAUUCUAAGCAGGGUAAGAUAAUCUAAGGGUAGAGUGACACACAAGCAUUACUACUCAUCCUCAUAAUAAUGAAUCUAAGCUAGGUGGAAAGAAAAGAAAAAGAGAAUCUAUUCCUAUACUUCUAAUACACAUGGAAUACAUACAUUCUAGUUAACUGGUAUACUAGCUAAUACCCUCUAUUCGAUGCCCUUCUGGUACUUCGAGAAGCCACUCCUGACUGCCGAGUUCCUUAGGACAGCCCGUCAUGACCAUCCAACCAGGGCUAAAUACGGAGGAAUACCCUCCCUAGGAAAUUAACUUAGGAUUAUAUAUAGGCGCGGUGGAAUACCCGUACUGAGCUGUCUCCAUCAUCGGCCCACCUCUCAUCUGCAAUAUAUAACCCCAAAUAAUGAUAUUCCGUAAUCUAGACACCACAUCUAAACUACCAGAUACUACUCUAAUAUCAUCGUCAUGACAUAGAGUAAUUGCAUAAGCAAACACUAUACCCGCACCAAAACAUCUCCCAGAUAAGCUAGCAGUAUAUUCAGCAUAACAUGAACAUAAUGUAAAGUAGGUACUCAUAUACUCGGAAAGUAUUCCAAUACCAGAAAUGUAUUUAGAAGAGUAUUAUAAUAAAAGUACAAAGCUUACAUAAGAGGAAAGGAAAGUUACUAGAGCCAUACCCGAACUCUUCCGAAGGCUUCCGCACUCCUGAUUCCUAUUCUAGUUCUAUUUCACCAGCUAGAUACUACUAAACUAAACUUAAGAGGAAUGAGAGAGCUCUUGCUUGAGGUGUGUGUUGAAGUGAAGAGAGUGAGCUCCUUAUAUACAGGUAGGUAUGACGGUUGUGGAAGGGGAAUUGUCCGAAGUACCCUCCAACCGUCAUUGGGGUGCAAUCUUGGACGUCCAUGCCAAACCCUGGCCUCAACGGUGGAGAUGGGGGUUCGGCCGAACCAUGGGUUGGCCCAAACCAGCCCAUCUUCGGCUGGCGACUUCCUCUAUUGCUCCACUCCGCAGACUUGUGAAUUUUGGCCCAAUUCAUUGUGUCAAUUCUGAGUUCUUGGCCCAUUCAUACAUAAGUCUGGUUCUCGACAUCGUCCGAUUGAUUAUCGUUUGUGUUGAUGUCGAUUCUCCUCCACUUUAUUGUCAUUCUCUGCAAAAGGUUAGUAGACCUAAUACUAGUGGAAUAUUAUUAUUCUAACAAACAUAUGCAUUGCAAGCAUCACUAGUUCUCUCCUGUUUUAGUAAUACGUUUUAGUAAUAUUGACGGUCGAAACUGAUCGAUAACGAUCGUCAACAGCGUCGGGCAGGGAGGACGCGGCGCAGCAUCGGCGUCGAGAGGAGGCGGCGCCGGCGUCGGGCGGGGAGGAGGCGGCGCCGGCGUCGGUGGGGAGGAGGUGGCGCCAGCGUCGGGAGGGGUCGGAGGCGGCGCGGCGACAGGUAGGAGGAGGCGAGGCGGCGGCGUCGGGAGGAGGCGGCGCUGGCGUCGAGCGGGGAGGAGGCGGCGUCGGCGUCGGGAAGGGAGUGCGGCGGCCGGCCGGCUGGAAGGGAGAGGCGGCGCUCCAUCACCACUGGUGUGCGCGUGUGAGAAGCGACGGGAAUAGAUUAGCGAACACGUUUUCUUUCAUAAUGGCAGAGGUGGGUAAUUUUUUCCCCCAAAAGAAGGUGAAAGCAUAGGGUAGAGGUGCUUUUGAUUUGUACUAUACCAAAAGCUGACUUUGGGCAAAAGUAGCUGUGGCUUUUGGGCCCUUUGGUUAGCUUUUGGCUUUUGCAAAAGCAAAAGCAGGUUGAAAAACCCAACUAAACACACCCUAACUCAUACACACCUGCGUACCAGAAUGCAAGGCUAGUCCUAAAUAGAUUAAUCAGCUUAGGCCAUCCCAUACUAGCACAUGUUGAUGUACGGUAAACAUAAUGGGUGAUAUGAUGUUCGGUCCUUAAUCGACUCAGGCGAACACUCCCCCUAUCGAUAUGCAACUACUACCAUAUGCAUACCACUUGCCGUCUAAGUCUAAAAUCACAUUUUAUCUCAUUUUAUUUCAAAAAUAAUCAGAGAAUUAACUCUGAACAUAAUGUUUAAAAAGGAGUUCCAAAUAGUAUAUCAAGUGACUCAUAACCAUGUUUCUGUUUAUCACUAAGCAAGGCUAAGCAUUUGCACUUUAUAAAAGCAUAGUAUAGUUAUAUGAGCACAAUCAAAGUACACUAAUUAAUCCUAAGGUUCAAAACAGCAAGGAAGUGAUUUUCAAAAACGGGAUUCAUGCAUCUUUUAAAGGUAGAACUACAAGUACCGAUAGUUAGAAAUACGCAUGCAAAUUUAUAAUCAAAACAUUUAGCCCGAACACAUGGGAUUCAAUGUGUUCAAAGGAAGGGCAACACUUGCCUUGGAGGAUAUAUGACCUCAUUGAAAUUAGAUAUAAUCCAUCGCCUUUACCGGUAUCGAUUUCACCUUCUAAAAGAAAUAACAGUAACAAAACAUGUAAAAAUCUAAAAUGAUCUAAAAUGCAUGAGUUUACUAGUGUGGUUAGGUACUGGUCUAAGAUGAAUUUAGGUGAAAGAAUUUAUAUUUUAUCACUUUGCAUUAGAGAGUUAUAAAUUUUCAAAUUUUAAUACUAGCUCUAGAUUAAUUAACCUCUAAUAGUCCUUAGGUGCAUUUUAGGUCUAAGUUUUUUGAAAUGUUGUCUUGCUGCCGUGAAGGGGAUGCUCACAGGAGUUCAACAAAGUUGGUUUCACAAUUUUUAAAGUUAGCAUGAUUUUAUUAUGAAUUUUACAAGCUAGGUCAUAUGCUAUAGUCUUUAUUAGUUAUUUCGAAUUUUAUAUAUGUUUUGAGUACUGUAUGUGUCAUAUUUUAUUUCAUCAAAACUAAGUUCAUGAUUUUGCCAAUCUAACAGAACUGAAAUCACCUCAUUUGGAGUUGAAAUAAAUCACCUAUGGGUUUUAUAUUUUCUAGUUUACACUAUACUAGUUAUUUUACCAAUUAAAUAGUUGGUGAUGAUUUUAAUACAGAAAGUAUCAAGUUUUAGUUCAUGUAAAUCAAGUGUAUGAUUUUUUGAGCACACUGGAAUUUGGUUCACUCCAAAUUAAGUUAAGAUGAAUUUUAUAUGAAUUUUCUAAGUUGAAGAUUGCUCUAUGUUCAUUAUUUAUUAUGUGAAUUAUUAGAGCUAUUUCUUCUACUGCAAGUGCCAAGUAUUAUGUUUCCAUAUUAAGAUUCAUAACUUGGUGAUUCUACAGAAAUUUAUUUCAUCCAGAUUGGAGCUAAAAUGAAUUUUAUAUGGAAUUUACAAGUUAACCUAUUUUUCUGUUGAUUAGGUAUUCACUAAGGCAUUUUCCUUAUAUUUUCCAGAUUUUAAACACAUAGGGCCCACUGGUCAGUGAGAUAUUUUUUGCAGAAAGGUCCCUCGAGGUUCUAGGAAUAGGUCCCGAGGUACCUAGCUCGUUUUAAUUGAAUCUUCAUUAAGACUACUCAAAGUUUUAUGUAUUUAUAAUUAGGUCUAGGUCCCACAUGUCAUGCUCUAGUUAUUUACAAAUAGAACCCCAUAUGCUUUGAUCUAUUUCUAAUCACAGUUCUUAAUGCUUAAUGAAGUGGGGACCACCUGUCAUAGGCUCGGCAGAGGAGGAAACAGCAGCAGCAGCAGAGCUUCACCGGCCGGCGGGCUUGACGUCGACGUCGGCGGCGAACGGCGGGGAUUCUGACGUCGCACCCAAAAGGAGAAAAGUGCACCAGGCUCUUGCGCAUCCGACGAUGUUCGUCUUGUCGCCGGAGAUGGCCGGGAUGGAUGCCGGAAACAGCGCGAGCGGCGGUGACCACUAGUCUGCGUUUGCAUGACAAUUUCUAGUGAGGAUUUGUGCGUUAAGGUGCAUGCAUGUGUGAUUACGAUGCUCCUGGAGACUUACGGAAGGUCGCCUGUAGGUCGGUGAUGGAUGGACGGCGAUGGCGACCUUAGAAGUACUCCGGCGGCGGCAAAGAAUGGCAGAGCGACGGCGACGACCACUCCCCAUGCUUCGGCCUGCCAAGAAGAGUAGUUGAACGGCUCAAAGAAAACCUAAGGAUGCUACACGAGCGAGGAAAUGCGCCGAAACUCACUCGGAUGCAAGGAUUCGACGACGAUAGCCGGUAGCCGGACUUGAGGAAGACGACGGCGAUCUCUUCAACGGCGGUGUCUUGGGUCGAUUGCUUCAGUAAGCAGCUUUCUGGAACCUUUGUGAUGAUGAUGGCGCAGUGGUUCGGCCAGAGACCCACCGGAUGGACGGGAACGGCAUCGCGACGUCGGGAGCGACGAUGAGCUCGACGCAGGGUGUUCGACCUGUGCAAAAUGAGAUUUCACACACAGAUGGAUCAGGUAGAGGUAGAAGAUCACGUUUCCAUGGAUGAAAUGCGCCUAAGAUCACCAGAGAAGACAAGAAAUGGAUCAAACAUCUUCGGGUUAAAGAUUGAGAAGAGUGUUCUGGGUUCCUCCGAGAAAGUUCUUGGUGUUUUUCCUAGUGGAACACGAUGAAGGAUGGAUAGAAAUCACUGUGGCGAAGUAUCACUCUAAGUGAUGGAUGUUGAGCUGGAAGGGAGGGGUUAGGUGUCAACAUUUGGCUGUAACACGAUUUUAAUGAGUUGGCAAGGGUUGAGGGCGGUGCUAUCUCGUCUACAUCUCCCAAGCUAGCCCUAGAGGCUGUCAAGUGGUCUCAUUAGUGAUUUCCUAGGUAGAUAUGAGACGUAGGGUGUGUUCUUGAGUGUGAAUUGGACUUUUAACUCUCCCUCUCUCUUUUUCUUUUGUUAAUAAAUCAAAAGAAUGUCUAACUAAGGAUGUUUGCUGGUAUGUGGAUGAUAAGUGGGUCCAUGUGGAUGCAUCCUAGGCUCAUAUGAGUGGUAAGGUAGAUAUAUGGGUGAGAGUUGUAUUUUUACCCUCCUCUCUCUCACCUUUAGAAAAAUAAAUGAUAAUAUAAAUGAGAGGUGUGUAGAUGAUGUGUUGGCUGUGAUGAGGAUGACAUAUGGGUCCCACUAUGGUUAGGUCCCACUUGUAAGAGAGAGAAAUAGAAGAAGAGGCCUAGAAGCUCUAAAUUUUCUAAGUGUUGAAACUAUACCAACAUGUGGUUUAUUUCAUUCUCCUUUCUUCCAUUUAGUUUAGAAUUUUGGGGAGACAAGGUUGCUGCUAGGUGGAUAAGGAUUCGAUGGUUCAAUGUGACAAAUUUCAAGAUUUAAUUACGCUUUGAGUUACCAUGGUAAUUUAGUAAAGAUGCCUAAGUUACAAUGUUGACUACAGUCUAAAUAUUGUUUAAGCAACUCUUGUGGCUCUCAUUUCAUGUGGUUCUAUUUCGAAUUUUAUUAAGCCUUUGCACCAGGUUGUAGAGUACACUAUAGUUAACAUUCUAACCAAGUGGUUUAGCUAGAUAAAUUAUGGUUAAAUUUUGGUGAAGGUGCAAAGUAGGCUAAAUGGUAUGCUGUUUUCAGAUUUCUAGCUGAGAUGAAGGAUUUAUUUGGGAUACCAUUUGAUGUGAUAAAUUCAAACUAAAAUUAUUGUAGACUUAGGAUGCUGUUUAGUAUUUAUGAGAAUUUUGGUGCAAUUUGUUGUUGCUUGAUUUAUUUUUAGGAAUUUUCUUUAGAUAUGACAUGCUUAUGAAACCUAUUAUGAGAUGCAACAAUUAGAACAUUCAAAAACAAACCUAAAAUAAUAAAAUGCACAUACAACCAAGUGUACUUACUUCCAUCUUAAGUUUUGCUUAUUUUAAAUCUUAUAUCUCCAUUUGUUUUCAUUUAGCUCAAAAAUAUUUUGCUUAAGUUGAAAUGCAAAGCCAAAAGAAUUAAAUUCCUAUUUAAAGUUUAAACCAUCUUAUUUGAAUUGAGAUUUGUUAACCCAAGAUUUUAUAAAAUCUAAUUUUGGAUUAGCUUUAAAUCUUGACCAACAAAUCUUUAUGUUUUAAUUUUAUUUACAGGAUUUAAACUCUAAGAUCAACUAUUAUGCUCUUAAAUGCUUUAGCUUUCAAAAGGUUUUAAAUUUUCCUCAAAAUUUUUCCUAGGUGAAAUUCCUGGUAUGUUACACAAUACCUGCAUAAAUCAUAAGUUAUUAAACAUCCAACAUAGUGGUAGGGCCUAAUUCUAACAAUUUCCGUGAGUGUUGGUGUAUAAUUAUAUCCAGGUAAUAAACCACCAAAGUUGAGAGGAAAUACAACCAAAAGUGGAGGAAAAUUCCAUCCAUAGAAAACUUGGCUCAUACACACAUUAAAAUAUUAGAAGUUGAGCCUAAUCUACAUCUCACUAGGCCAAGAGAUCAUCUGUCGAGGCCCAGGAGGAAGCCCAUGGGUCGGGAGCUGACCAG